AUAGAAAAAAUAUAAAAUAAAGAGAAAACUUCAAAUACCACCUCUAAAAUUUUGCACUUUUUUAUUUUAGUACCCGGUGGUUUAAAGUGUAUCACUUUCGCCUGUGAUUUUAUUUUUCUCUUUUUCUUAUUCCCUCCACAAAUUUUUUUUGUUAAAUCAAUGACAACGUUAAAAUUAAAAGAUACUAAAGUAAAUAUUUGAUAAAUCUAGAUGGGGUAUCUGAAGUUUUUUGUAUAUAAUUUAAAGAAAUAUUAAUAAAGGAACUGAUGAAAAGAGAAAAAUGAAACCUCAUGGUACUAAAUUGGUAUAUUUUAAAUCACAUGAUACUAAAGUGAAAAAGUGUGAAAGUCCAAGGAUGAUAUUUGAAGUUUACACAAUAUUAAAUUAAUCGUAAAGAGUUGAAGAUAUGAAUCCAGAGAUAAAAAGUAUAUAUAUUUCGCCAAAAGUGGAGAGAAGUAAAACUGUUUCGAUCAUAAAUAUUUUGUUUAGUUCGUCGUACACUAAAUUCGUUUAUAACUUCACUUUUCAAAAUAUUGUAAUUGACUUCGCCAGUGAUUACAAUUAUGGAAGAAAAGGAAAUAAAAAAAUAUUUAUUGUAAUAUUUUUUUUACCCUCUUAGUGCUAAUAAUAUAAAACUUUUUAAUAAAAUAAAAUAAUUACAGUUUCAAAACUACUAACUUUUAAUCAAACAACAAUUAAAAUAAUAAAUUUUAAAUAAAUUUUAACUCAACUGAAAAUUAUUUUCAAUCAGAAAACCAAUUACUCAGAAACAACUCAGAAACAGAUAUGCUCGAGAGUACGAUGACAACCGACGAAUCUGAGCCGUCUAAAAUAAAACGGACGAUCAGCUAGUACUUUCGUGGGUGGACUACGCGUCAUAGCCGUCCGAUCUUCAUCGGACCGCUGACGUUUCGCCCCAUCUCCACUCCACGAAACGGUAACACCUGUUUCCGUUCGUGCUUGAUCGGUCUUACCAUUUAGACUUCGUUUGGGAUUGCGAAAAAAUUACAUUAUAUACGAUGAGAAAGUACGUUGGAAAAAUAUUUUAUUUGUUUUCGUAUUCCGUAUAUCGCGAUGAGUUGGUUACGAUAUAUUUUCUGUAUUAUCUGAUGGGACCACAGAAAAUAUAUCGUAAUCGACUCAUCGCGAUAGAUAUAAAGGCCUAUCUAACGCUAUUAAAUAAAAUAGAGCUGAGAAAAAAACAUAUCGGGAUAUGUUUCUGCGUUCUCGGAUCGCAGAAAAUAUAUCGUAACCGACUCAUCGCGAUAUACGGAACGCAAUAUUAUAUACGGAAACAAAAAUAAUAUUUUUCUAACGUACUUUCACCACACAUAAUGCAAUCCCCUCAAUCCCAAGCGAAAGCUUUAAUAAAAUAAAUUAAAUAAAUAAAUAGGUUAAAAUGUACGGAGAACCCUCAACUCUCAUCUAUUUGGAAUCAAAUCCUCUUAAUCAUUUUUUAAAAAAAUAAAGUAUUUUUAAGGCAAAAAAUGGAGUUUUAUUAACUUUAUUGACGAUUUUAUUAAUUUUAAUAAUUUUAAUUAUAUUAGCUAAUAAAGACGUAAGGGAAAAAACUAAAAUAAAAUAAACUUUUCUUUUUUGAGGAAAGAUUAUAAAAUAGCUGGAGUAAUAUAAUUUCAAAUAAUCAAGUGUUGUGUAAAUUAAAAAAGUUUAAGUUACGGGACCAUUACAAAAGAGCCUCUUGUGGAGGAAUCUCUGUAUAAUUUUAACGUAAUAUAUUUGAUUUAUGAAAUAAAUUAUCUCAUUAGAAAAAUAAAAAACUUAACGAUCAAAUAUAAUAUACUAUUUUAAAUAUUUGAUCACACUUCUCGCCUACUAAAUGCCAUAAAUUUCUUAACUAAAUCACAUAAAAUGCUGUAUAAGAUGUUAAUGCAUCCAAACAUUAACAUUUUACCUCUAAAAAUAAAAGGACCAAGCUGCAAUUCUAGGAUAGUUUGGAUACCUCUAAACCUUUACAUUUUUUUUUAUAAACAUCCCUCUUUUAAUUUUAGUAAUUAGACUCACUGCAGGUAUCAAUUAAAUAAAUAUACCUCACUGCUCAAUUAAAAUUAGUAAUUAGACAAUUAUUUUGGUUGCAUGUCAUGCAUACUAGUGUAGGUAUUCGCAUGUUGCAGCGAGUAGUUAUUGUUGAAGUAAAAUUANAAAGGACUAAUAACACGUGAAAGGUUAAUGAAAUAAGCGAUAUCUCAGACGGCAAAGAAUAAUACUAAUGUUUGAUUAGAAACCAGGACAAUGUGAUUAAUGCAAAUUGACAGAAACUUCAAAUUAUUUUUCUAGUUAAUGUAUCGAACUGACAUCAAAUUUAACAAACUUUAAUGUUUCUAAUAGAACAAAAGAAAAAUAUGCAUUGUUGAGAGUACAUUCCUAACCAGACAGUUUUAAGACGAAAAUUACCUAACCUACUUCAAUCAGGGAUUAGCCCCUGAAUAAGCAUUGAGGAAAAUCUCCACUUUGUAUGGGCCAAAUCUUCUUCCAAAAUUAUAGAUUGCAGUAGAAGUUUAGCGAAGGCAUGAUAAAAGAAAAAAGAAAGAAAAGAAAGACAAUAUUGUCGAUGUAGUUAAGAAGGUAAAUGACAGGAGUUACCUGGACUAUUGAUUCCUUAAGUUUUGCAUGGAGGCGAGACCCUGUAUCUUUGAUGCUUGUAGGAGGCCAUAGCUGCAACAAAGAAGUUAUUCAUUAACAUAAAACUUAUGAAUAAACAACCAGGAAAGAAUUAUACAAGCACUGAAUAGCAAAUAUAUUGGAAAAAAUAUGAAUGCCAAAAGUGAAUAUUCAAUAAGUAGAAAUUGCAUGUUUCGCCAAAAUGUUCUAGAGAAUCACAAAAUACUUCCUCCCCUAGAUACAAGUGCAAAAAGAAAAGGUGAAAACUAAUGACAUUUAAUUUUCCAUGACAUCUAAUAUUGUUGCUAUGCCAUUAUACUUUAGGGUGAUGACACUCUAUCAAUAUUUUCUUUUAUUAAUAAUAUUUUGAUUAUUCUGUCAAAUGCCAACGGUAGAAUUAUCAGAAUAGCAAUGAACUAUAGACUAAAAAAGGUAAACUAAAAUAGAUUAGACCAAUAACUACAAACUAAAAAAUAGCUUGAGUGCAAGAGACUUCGAAAUUAAAUCCAGACCUAGAAGGAAUUUGAGAUAGAGAAAGCUAACUAUGAAAGAAGAGUUCACUUUGAAGUAAGACAGAAUUUGAGAUACAACCAUCAGGACCAAACUAUCAUUUAAAACUUUUAAUGCCUUUUAUAUAAUUACGGAAGGCUAUGUAUCUUUCUCAAAAGUUUUUUUUUUAAUGGCUAAGCCUCCUAAAAUAACAACUCCUGGCAUACAGGUAGAUGGGAAAAGGAAAAGGCUACAGAACAGCAACGUUUGUUUGUUUGUAAUUUCAGGCAAACACAAUAACAUGAUAUAAUCAAGAAACUACAAGAAAAUAAUAAUAGAAUUAGAAAGAUACUUCUCAAAGUAAGAACUUACAGGGGUAGAACAUGCAGGACACACGUAUCCAGCUGGUGCAGUUUGAGUUGGAAAACUUUGAAUAUGCGAUACCAGGCAUUUUGUGUGCAUGAGAUCUGCAAAGUAAGCCAAACGAAGAGUAUCUUAGCAACAAUUUGAGAGAAAUGAUAUCUUGAGAAAAAUUUAAACAAAAAAAACUGAUUACAGUAUCACAUACGCAGGCAACCCAAUCGGGUGGUUUGAUCACUUCCUUCUUCCAGCACUGAAUUACACAGAGAGCACUUAGGAGGCCAGUCAUAUUCCCCAUCGACUACCCAAUCUGAGUACUUCUUAACCUAAAUAUUGAGAUAAUACGUGUGAUUCUCACAUUGACUGAACCAACCAAAAAAAAAAUCGUUGUAUUUACUAUCAAGAAGUAAGGAGGUUACCACACAGAUUUGGUGUUCUGGAAAACAGAUGCAUUCCCCGCAGACAGGGACCUUGUGGACAAAGCAAUAAAGCCUGGUUGCCUGAAAAACAAUUUUUUUUCCCAAUAAAAACAUAUAACAAAUUUAUUGGCUAUUUAAGAAACUAGUAUAGAGAUAGGUGUGAACUUCAACACAAAGUCAUAGAAUUGUCCAUUUCCGUGACAUAGCUAAUAUUUACUCAAUAGCAAUGAUAUAUCCGCAAAAUUAAUGUGCCACAUUUUAACCAAAGGUGGAAAAUGUACAGGGACACCCUGCCAUCUUUAAACAUAUACCCAUCAACUUUUCUCUUUUGAUUGACACACUCACCUUCCAACUUGAGUUAUUUUCCUAAAUUGAAUUGAAAAUUUAUCCAAAUUAGCAGCUCAAUUAGCAAGAAGCAAGCCUUAAACAGUUUUAAUGAAAUACGUCAUUUCGUCACCUGAAAAAAAUGUUCAGAAGAAUUAAAUUUAACAGAAUAACCCUUAGAGUUAACAAAAUCCCCUAUGUGAUUGAUAGAAGUAACUUGGAUCAAAAGAAUCAAAAUUUAGCCAGUGCCAAACAAAAAUUAUAGCAAUAAUGAAGUUAGAGGGCUUAUUUCAAAACGACCCAUAAUUGGGGGGGUCUCCAUACAUUUUACAUUAAAUGAAUCAAAGAUAGACUCAAAACCCUAGUAGCCCUCUUCUCUCCUAUCGCACGAAAUCGAGUGAUUUAAUCAAAUAUAUUCUUUUAAGAAACAAUUGGUUUCAUGCACUUAUUAACCUAAUUAACCCAAAAUCCAGUUCUUAAUAUCAUAAACAAGUUCCCUAUCACACUCCGAACGCACUAAACGCACUCCCAACAAUUAAUGCCAAAAACAAAUCGCCAAAUCGAAGCCCUAACUAUAGAUCGACUUAUUGAACACCACAGAUCUCAAAUCGCGCAAAUUAUCACACCUAAUAGAGUAAUUACUGGAAAAUUUCGUGAAAAUAGAGCAAAAAUUAGAUGAGGAGAUUUGGAUCGGAAGUUACCUUGCGACAUUUACAAACAACCAUCGAAUCAAAGGAGAUUUCCUUGUAAAAGGCAACAAAUUGGGAUUAAAAAGAUCGAAGAGGGAUCGGAGAUGAAUAGAGGUUCGCGAAGACGAGCAAGAGAUCUGAGAGAGAGAGAGAGAGAGAGAGGGGCUUAGAAAUAAAUGGGAGGAAAAUGUUUAGGGAAAAAUGAUCAGAGACCCCUGAACUUUGCUAUUUCGUAAACAGGCUCCUGAACUCUUAAUAUUACCAAUUAGAUCCCUAAAAUUAGAGCGGUCGUAAAAUCGCAAUUCAGCGCACUGUUCACGAGCCAGCUCAUAUUCGGCUCGAAAUGAACUCAAGAUCGAAUUGCUAGACAAGUUGAACAUGACUUAAAUUUUUCACCUUAUUUAAUAAAUGAACCGAACACGAUCUGAGGUUAACUCGCUUGUGUUCGGCGGUAAUAACUCGAAUACAUAUAUUUUAUAUUUAUAUAUAAAUAAAUAAUUAUAUAUAUAAUAUAGAUUUUUAUUAUUUGACUUUUAGUCUAAUCUUAAAUAUAAAGUCCAAAUCAAUUAUAAAAAAGCCCAUUUAUAUAUAACAAAUUUAUGAGAUCUUAAGUAUUAAUUACUUUAUUAAAUUUUAAUCUAGGUUGAAACUUUAUAUAUAAAUGGGCUUUUUUAUAAUUGAUUUGGACUUUAUAUUUAAGAUUAGACUAAAAGUCAAAUAAUAAAAAUCUAUAUUAUAUAUAUAAUUAUUUAUUUAUAUAUAAAUAUAAAAUAUAUGUAUUCGAGUUAUUACCGCCGAACACAAGCGAGUUAACCUCAGAUCGUGUUCGGUUCAUUUAUUAAAUAAGGUGAAAAAUUUAAGUCAUGUUCAACUUGUCUAGCAAUUCGAUCUUGAGUUCAUUUCGAGCCGAAUAUGAGCUGGCUCGUGAACAGUGCGCUGAAUUGCGAUUUUACGACCGCUCUAAUUUUAGGGAUCUAAUUGGUAAUAUUAAGAGUUCAGGAGCCUGUUUACGAAAUAGCAAAGUUCAGGGGUCUCUGAUCAUUUUUCCCUAAACAUUUUCCUCCCAUUUAUUUCUAAGCCCCUCUCUCUCUCUCUCUCUCUCUCAGAUCUCUUGCUCGUCUUCGCGAACCUCUAUUCAUCUCCGAUCCCUCUUCGAUCUUUUUAAUCCCAAUUUGUUGCCUUUUACAAGGAAAUCUCCUUUGAUUCGAUGGUUGUUUGUAAAUGUCGCAAGGUAACUUCCGAUCCAAAUCUCCUCAUCUAAUUUUUGCUCUAUUUUCACGAAAUUUUCCAGUAAUUACUCUAUUAGGUGUGAUAAUUUGCGCGAUUUGAGAUCUGUGGUGUUCAAUAAGUCGAUCUAUAGUUAGGGCUUCGAUUUGGCGAUUUGUUUUUGGCAUUAAUUGUUGGGAGUGCGUUUAGUGCGUUCGGAGUGUGAUAGGGAACUUGUUUAUGAUAUUAAGAACUGGAUUUUGGGUUAAUUAGGUUAAUAAGUGCAUGAAACCAAUUGUUUCUUAAAAGAAUAUAUUUGAUUAAAUCACUCGAUUUCGUGCGAUAGGAGAGAAGAGGGCUACUAGGGUUUUGAGUCUAUCUUUGAUUCAUUUAAUGUAAAAUGUAUGGAGACCCCCCCAAUUAUGGGUCGUUUUGAAAUAAGCCCUCUAACUUCAUUAUUGCUAUAAUUUUUGUUUGGCACUGGCUAAAUUUUGAUUCUUUUGAUCCAAGUUACUUCUAUCAAUCACAUAGGGGAUUUUGUUAACUCUAAGGGUUAUUCUGUUAAAUUUAAUUCUUCUGAACAUUUUUUUCAGGUGACGAAAUGACGUAUUUCAUUAAAACUGUUUAAGGCUUGCUUCUUGCUAAUUGAGCUGCUAAUUUGGAUAAAUUUUCAAUUCAAUUUAGGAAAAUAACUCAAGUUGGAAGGUGAGUGUGUCAAUCAAAAGAGAAAAGUUGAUGGGUAUAUGUUUAAAGAUGGCAGGGUGUCCCUGUACAUUUUCCACCUUUGGUUAAAAUGUGGCACAUUAAUUUUGCGGAUAUAUCAUUGCUAUUGAGUAAAUAUUAGCUAUGUCACGGAAAUGGACAAUUCUAUGACUUUGUGUUGAAGUUCACACCUAUCUCUAUACUAGUUUCUUAAAUAGCCAAUAAAUUUGUUAUAUGUUUUUAUUGGGAAAAAAAAUUGUUUUUCAGGCAACCAGGCUUUAUUGCUUUGUCCACAAGGUCCCUGUCUGCGGGGAAUGCAUCUGUUUUCCAGAACACCAAAUCUGUGUGGUAACCUCCUUACUUCUUGAUAGUAAAUACAACGAUUUUUUUUUUGGUUGGUUCAGUCAAUGUGAGAAUCACACGUAUUAUCUCAAUAUUUAGGUUAAGAAGUACUCAGAUUGGGUAGUCGAUGGGGAAUAUGACUGGCCUCCUAAGUGCUCUCUGUGUAAUUCAGUGCUGGAAGAAGGAAGUGAUCAAACCACCCGAUUGGGUUGCCUGCGUAUGUGAUACUGUAAUCAGUUUUUUUUGUUUAAAUUUUUCUCAAGAUAUCAUUUCUCUCAAAUUGUUGCUAAGAUACUCUUCGUUUGGCUUACUUUGCAGAUCUCAUGCACACAAAAUGCCUGGUAUCGCAUAUUCAAAGUUUUCCAACUCAAACUGCACCAGCUGGAUACGUGUGUCCUGCAUGUUCUACCCCUGUAAGUUCUUACUUUGAGAAGUAUCUUUCUAAUUCUAUUAUUAUUUUCUUGUAGUUUCUUGAUUAUAUCAUGUUAUUGUGUUUGCCUGAAAUUACAAACAAACAAACGUUGCUGUUCUGUAGCCUUUUCCUUUUCCCAUCUACCUGUAUGCCAGGAGUUGUUAUUUUAGGAGGCUUAGCCAUUAAAAAAAAAACUUUUGAGAAAGAUACAUAGCCUUCCGUAAUUAUAUAAAAGGCAUUAAAAGUUUUAAAUGAUAGUUUGGUCCUGAUGGUUGUAUCUCAAAUUCUGUCUUACUUCAAAGUGAACUCUUCUUUCAUAGUUAGCUUUCUCUAUCUCAAAUUCCUUCUAGGUCUGGAUUUAAUUUCGAAGUCUCUUGCACUCAAGCUAUUUUUUAGUUUGUAGUUAUUGGUCUAAUCUAUUUUAGUUUACCUUUUUUAGUCUAUAGUUCAUUGCUAUUCUGAUAAUUCUACCGUUGGCAUUUGACAGAAUAAUCAAAAUAUUAUUAAUAAAAGAAAAUAUUGAUAGAGUGUCAUCACCCUAAAGUAUAAUGGCAUAGCAACAAUAUUAGAUGUCAUGGAAAAUUAAAUGUCAUUAGUUUUCACCUUUUCUUUUUGCACUUGUAUCUAGGGGAGGAAGUAUUUUGUGAUUCUCUAGAACAUUUUGGCGAAACAUGCAAUUUCUACUUAUUGAAUAUUCACUUUUGGCAUUCAUAUUUUUUCCAAUAUAUUUGCUAUUCAGUGCUUGUAUAAUUCUUUCCUGGUUGUUUAUUCAUAAGUUUUAUGUUAAUGAAUAACUUCUUUGUUGCAGCUAUGGCCUCCUACAAGCAUCAAAGAUACAGGGUCUCGCCUCCAUGCAAAACUUAAGGAAUCAAUAGUCCAGGUAACUCCUGUCAUUUACCUUCUUAACUACAUCGACAAUAUUGUCUUUCUUUUCUUUCUUUUUUCUUUUAUCAUGCCUUCGCUAAACUUCUACUGCAAUCUAUAAUUUUGGAAGAAGAUUUGGCCCAUACAAAGUGGAGAUUUUCCUCAAUGCUUAUUCAGGGGCUAAUCCCUGAUUGAAGUAGGUUAGGUAAUUUUCGUCUUAAAACUGUCUGGUUAGGAAUGUACUCUCAACAAUGCAUAUUUUUCUUUUGUUCUAUUAGAAACAUUAAAGUUUGUUAAAUUUGAUGUCAGUUCGAUACAUUAACUAGAAAAAUAAUUUGAAGUUUCUGUCAAUUUGCAUUAAUCACAUUGUCCUGGUUUCUAAUCAAACAUUAGUAUUAUUCUUUGCCGUCUGAGAUAUCGCUUAUUUCAUUAACCUUUCACGUGUUAUUAGUCCUUUGGUUCUGACAGCUUGGAGCUUGAAUUUAGCUAGUGAUAGUGAUUUUUAAUGUAUUGCAGAGUGGCUUGGAGAAAAAUGUUUUUGGAAAUCAUGUUGUACCAAUGCCUACAGUGGAUACCCAUGUUCCUCCUGCUUUUGCUUCAGACCCACUUAUGCGUGUGUCUGAAGAUAGAGAAAUAAAUGGUGGGAAAUCAUUUGAUCCCACCAAAGAUUUGAGCACACAAUCAUCUUCAUUUUCCAAGGAGGACAAAUACCUGGUUGAAGUCAACUCAUCUACUAUCAGAAUCGAUACCCCUGAACCAGAGAUUGUUGAAAUAGAUGGUCCCAGUUCAUUAGGAAGCCAAUUCAAAAGUCCGAGUCCAAUGGGUGUAAGUAUAUCUGAGGCUAAUAACACCCUCCCUUUUGGUAUUUCUUUCCAUAUUGUUACAUACAUACCCUUAUAGAAUUACUUUUACAUAUCUAACCCUGCAAAAACUGAUUUUUUUCAUGUAUGGCCUUCAAAAACUAAUUCUUUGCAUAUAUAUACCCUUGUAUUUUAAAAAAUUUCCCUUUUGGAAAAAAAAAGCGUUCUCGAGGACGAAAGCAAUUUCUCCCAAGAAUUUGGAUAUUCCCCAGCUUGAGCGUGUUUGCAUUUUCUUUGGUAUGUAUGGAAAUUCUGAUGUUACAGGGGUAUUUACCUAAAUAGUUGAUUUGCGGGGAUCUAUAUGUAAAAUCCCCUACAGUUUUGUUGGUUAGAAUGCGUAUCCUGUGUAUCGUACAUAUGUUGAUGUGAUGGUACAAUAUUAUUAUUCUUCUACUCUUUGUAACUUUAUGCAGCCUGGUGCUACUACGAGAAAGGGUGCAUACUAUGCUGAUAAGCAAAAUUCUGAAACUUCAUAUUAUGCUGAUGAUGAAGAUGGAAGCCAGAAAAAGUAUACUAGAAGAGGUAAGUGAGAACAAUAAGAAAUUAUCACUUCUUCCUUGGACUAUCUUUCAAGUCCUUUGGUCCUAUACAUUUUCAACCUUAUAUGAUCACCCACAGAAUAUUUUUUGCUCUGCUGCUUUAGGAUUGGCUCUGUUAUGUCCAUUCUUGUUAGUUACCAACAGUGUGCAUGCAAAACCUAUUUUAAAUAUAGCAUAAAGGGUUCUUAAUGCUAUGAUGAGUCUUUUUUUCUGUUUGUCUUAUUUCUUAUACUAUUCAAUGAAUAGAAAUUUUAAUGUUUAGGUAUCUUGAAUAAAGAGGUGUCACGCACAAGGAGUUCAGUUCAUUGCAGAGGUUAUCUGUGUAGCAGAUUAAUUUUUCAUUAUGAACAUUUUAAGACGAUUUGGUAAAAUAUUCUGUGGCGGUCAUUUUUUGAUUUAUGGUGCUUAAAUGUCAACGUAUAUCUAAGAUAACCUGUCUUUUACAUCAAAAGACAACUUUCUUCACCCUUUAUAUCUAGUUUUAAUUUUCCCGGAAGGAUAGAUUGUAAAUGCUCUGUUUUACUCAUUGAUAUAAGGCUAAAUUACGGAAAACCCCCCGUCAAAACCCGCUUUUUCACUUUCCCCCUCUGUCAUUUAAAAACCUACACUUUGCCCCCUUGUAAAAUAAAAAAUGUUCACAGGGGGGUACGGUGCGACAAAAUGACCAUUUUGCCCUUCACCAUUUUCGUCUUCUCCCUCAUCCUCCUCAUCCGUGGCGGAGGAGGCCGACCUCGGGUGGGACGCAGGCGGCGAGGCCGUCGUCGAGGAGGACGAUCUCGUUGAGGGUGUCGGCCAUGCGGCCGAUGGAGGGCGGGAUGCAGCCGUCGAGUUUGUUGUGGGCGAGGACGACGAUGGAGGCCGGGGAGUCGCCGAGGUUGGCGGGGAUGGGGCGGCGGCGGCGGAGGCGGUUGGAGUUGAGGAAGAUGGCGUCGAGGGGGCGGUCGAAGAGGAGGUUGAGCUCGUGGAGGAGGGCGAGGCCGGUGAGAGCGCCGUCCCGGAAGCCAUCGAAGCAACAGGGAAGAGGAGCGAAGGGGCAUUUUUGGCAUAAAAAAAUAUUAUAACGGAACCCUAACGGUAGGGGGUUAAGUGCACAUUUUUUAUUUUACAAGAGGGCAAAGUGUAGAUUUUUAAAUGACAGGGGGGGGAAGUGAAAAAGCGGGUUUUGACAGAGGGAUUUUCUGUAAUUUAGCCUUGAUAUAAUUAUUAACAAAUUAUUUUGCAGGUUCCCUUCGUCACAAGUUCCUGAGGAUGUUACUGCCUUUCUGGUCUAGUGCAUUGCCGACACUACCAGUGACAGCGCCGCCUCGCAAAGAUAAUGCCAAUGAUGUUCCAGAAGGCCGUCUGCGACAUCAAAGAUCAUCGAGGAUGGACCCGAGAAAGCUGCUACUCACUUUGGCAAUCAUGUAAGUUUUAUAUACUCUUAUGGCGCUUCUUUCUAGAUUCUUUGCGCACUCGUUCGAUUGCAUGCUCCUUGUUUGACAUCCUUCCAUCAAAUGACAAUUUUACCCUCUUCUUGUAACAUAACUUUAUUGUUCCAUUUUAUUGGGAAUGGGAGAUAAAUGGCCAUUUCACAAGAAAAAGUUCAGCUACUCCGCAAAUGACUCUGCGCUUAGCAUGGUGAACAUCAGAUGACAAACAGAACAAGGGAUCCAAUUGCAGCAUAUAGGAAAUUUUUAAAACAAAAUGUUUUCUAAGUCGUAGCCGUGCUCGUGCAUCUAUGUUUUGACCCGCUAGAAUUUUCAUGGUAGCUCUAUAUCAAGCAGCUCAUCCUCCAAAUGUAUACGGAAUGCAGGGCAUGUAUGGGGACAAUGGCUAUUCUUUAUUACCGUUUGGCGCAGCGCAGUAUCGGUGAAAACGUUCUAGAAGACGAGGCGCAGUAGACGCUGCUUGGAAGUUCCUGCAAUUCCCGUUCCUGUUUCCUGUGAUCUCACUUCACAAUUUUACUUCUUUUUUUCUUUUUUCCUUCCCCCAUACCUCUUGUGAAUUUCUCGAGGCUAAAAUAUAGAGAUGGUUUUAAGUGCUGUUUACAGAAUAUGUUUGUGUAACUACUCAAAUGCUCCUGAGUCAUUGCCUAUCCGUAUGAGCAAUUUCAUGACAAAUGCAUUUAAUCUAUUUUCUCUGGAUAGAAAGAGUUCGAAAUUUGUUUAAUUUUUUGCUUUAUGAUAAGGGUCUUCAUUUUUUUCCCUCCGAAUAUGCUUGAUAAAUGGCUGCAGUUCUUGCAUAUUUGUAUGCAGAUUUAACACUCUUGUGAAGAACUAUAUUAAUUGGCACUUUAGAUUAACAAUUUGGUUGAUCCUCAGUUUAUAAAAAUUGGUUCAUAGAGGGGCUCUUUUCUAUUUCUCCUUAUGGUUUGAAGCACUACUUAACUGGUAAAUCGAUUUGAGAUGGUUGUGUUAUUAUUGUAGAUGUGUUUAAAUAAUGUUAUGUCCAUUUACGUUUACUUCUUAUAUAUCUUGUGAAAGCUUUUCAAGGGGUUGUUUGUUUUUGUAUCACUAGAAUGUGCCGCGAAUUUGACAUUUAAAAUGUGGCAGGUGAACAAUGUCACCCAUAUUGGCAAUCAAUCAAAUUGUGCACUAUAGCUUUAUCCAUAACAUCAUAAUUUUUUUACAAAUUUGUAUUAUAAUUUAGGUUAGAGUUAUUAUACUCUUUAUAAGUAUAGAUUUUUUUGUACUCAUAGAUUUUUAGCUGUUGGAUAAAGGGAUGUACGUUAGGAUGAUAACAGUCCCUGAUUAGGAUGAUAGUAGUACUCUAAAGUUGAGUGGGCGGUUGGUUGAAUAAUAUGAUUUUGGCGGUGAAAAUGGAUAAAAGAGUAGAUCAAACGGCCGAAAAUUUAUGAGUACAAAAAGACCUAUAUUCAUAAGAAUAUAAUAACCGGACUCUCUCUCUAAUGUAAAAUUAUUUCGGGUUCAGAUCGGAUAUAAUCAAAAUCUAUAUUUAUAUCUGAAUUCAAAUUUUUAUUUUUAAUAUUUAUAUUUGAAAUUAAAUUUGUUUAGCAUUGGAUAAAUCCGCUUUAUUGGAAUUCAAAUUCGGAUAAAAUUCGGUAUCCGUUUUGGGUUUCGGGUAUCCGUGGCCAUACUCCAUCGACAUCCCCGAUCCCCUUCUUCGCCGAUGGACUUUUUUUUUUAAAUAACCUUCUAAAAGUUUAUUAUUUAUAAAAUAAUCUUGUCAAAAUUAUAUUUAAAAAACUAAUUUCUUCAAGCCGGUGAAUAAUUUACCGCCUUCAUAAAGAUUCUAAUUUUUCACAAAAGCGGUAAAUCAUUUAUCGUCUUUCACUUGUUUAUUAUUUAUAAUCCUAACAACCAUAUAAAUAUUUCAGUAAAUCAUAUAUAAUCUUAACGGCCUUUAAAUUUUAAUAAUCUAUCUAUAAAAUUCUAACAAUCAAAAAAAUUCUAAUAAUCUAUUCAUACAAUCGUAAUAAUCAAACACCAUAUAUAAUCUUAAUUUGAAAAUCCUAAUAAUAUAUCCAUACAAUCCUAACAAUCAAAAAAAUCAUAAUAAUUUAUUCAUACAAUUCUAACAAUCAAACAAAAAUUUUAAUAUUUCACGCACAAUCCUAACAACCUUACUUUUUUUAUUUUCUAUAUAAUUUACGUACAAUUUUAACAAUCACAAUCUUUUUCCCAAAAAAUUACAAGGAAGACGGUGAAUCGUUCACCGCUUUAAUGAAUGCGGUGAACGAUUCACCGCCUUUAAAAGACCCUAGAGACUUAUAGAAUGCGGUGAAUGAUUCACCGCGUUUUGAGAAUUAGUUUGCCAAAUAAAAACUUAAUAGGGUUAUUCGCAAAUUAUAAAAUUUGAGAUCGUUAUUUUGCCCUUCGCCAACCUUAGGUCCUAGCGAGUAGCGGCUACUCUGUCCCGCUCUCUGAACCCGUCUCCUUCAUCCUCCGCCGCCGCCUCCUCGGCCUCCUCCGCCUCCGCCUCCGCCGCCGCACAAAGCGAGGUGAACCCUCCUCCUCCUCUUCCUCUUCCUCUUCCUCCUCUUCCUCUACCUCGUCAGUUGAAAUUUUCCAAUCGCGCUUGAGGACCCCUGGUGCGAGUUGCCCUCGAGAUGUUUGUGAUAAUGCCGCACUCGGUUGUCACAAAAAAAUAGACCUCUUUGUGAUUUGUAGGGAGUUGUUGAGUGUAAUCGCGCCGUCGAGGUUCCUUCCCUAGCCUGUUAGGGGUUGUUUGAUUUGGUUUGCCGGAAAAAUAUCCUAGAAAAACAUAAGUAUUGUCUUUUCGUUUGGUUCCUGGAAAAAAUAGUUUUUUUGAAAAAAUAUAGUUUUUUUUCUUUCAGAUUUUAUGGAAAAGUAUUGCUUUCGUUUUCUUAAUUUUUUUUUUUUUAUCCGAAAUGAAAAUUUUUUUCUUUUGUGUGUUGGAAAAACAGUUUUCACGCUUUUUUGACAAACCAAACACAUGCUAAUCUCUGCAAUUGAGUCCCGAAUGUUUACUAGUUAGGGGUAUAAUUUCUUUGGAGGUGGGAAAAAAAAAGUGUUCUUGUUAACAGUUGUAACGCAUAGGGUAUAUCUCAAACCAAACUUAUUGGACAAUGUAUUUAGUAAAGAGUCUAAUUAGGUAAUUUCAUGCUAAAAUAGUGUUUAAAAGAAUCUUUUUCUUGUAUUUUUGGGCGAUGCGAAGAACUUUGAUUGAAUGUUGUUUCUUUUUUUUUUUUUCUGUAAAACUCCAUUAGUAAUUUGUUGCACCCAAACUACGACCCAAAAUGCUGAAGCCAUUACAACCCAAUUAUUGAUUCGCCCAUCACAUAUUUAAUCCUUACACUUUCGCACAUUAUCCGAUGUAGGACUGUCGUCCUCGUCAGCCCGGCCCCAAUCACACACGUAAUCCAAAAUCACCAGGCGAUAUGAGGCCCUCCUCACUCUUUGAACUGGUGAACUGGCUUUGAUAUCAAUUGUAAUGACUUGACCUCCUAGCAUUAAUAACUCGUUGGGUUCAAAUCACGGUACAAAAUAUUUUAGUCCACUUAUUAGUUCUAGUGUGCCCAUUACAUAUAUAAUUCUCACACUUUUUCACAUUAUCCGAUGUGAGACUAUUGUGGUGUCACACUUUCAGUAUGGGAGAGGGUGUCAGCUGAUUACUUUUCACAUUAUUUAGGUCAUCUCUUAAUGAUGAUGGUCUGGUGGCUAAAUUAGUUGCCAUCAUCCCCUGGUUGGGAAAAUAAAAUGUGGUUUCACAGGGAAUCAAUGGCAACAUAUUAAUGUUCCGUGACCCAAGUAAAAUUUCAUGCUAAGUACACUAACCAUUGAGUGGUGUAAUUCAGCCCUAUGGGCUGUUUGUUUUCUUGAUCGAGCACCUAUUUGGCCAGGCUUGAUGUUUCGCAAAAUUUUGUUUGAACAGAACUGCUUGAAGAAGCACGAGCAAACUUUUUCAUAAAGUCUUCAUGACAGCUUCCUAUUACAGUAGAAUCAGAAGCUUUAAAUUAGACCUUAUGCUUUGGAUCCUAGAAAUUCUUUUAGCUUCUUGCUGUAGCAAAAAGCUCCAUACUUGUUAUUUGCUGGACUGGAAAGCCUGUUUCGAAAGCUAGGCCAAAUAGGCACUGAAUCUAUAAUACUACAUGAUAUAUGUAAAUGUAAUCCAUUUACCAUAGACUGUUCUUGAUUUCCAGGUUCUCUAAUCUCGACGAAAAUGGAUCCAAAAAACUCAGCUGAAAUGUCCAAGUAAUAUUUCUAGAUGCAACUCUCCUUUGAAUAUAUAUACGACAUCUAUCUAUUAUUUUGCCAAUUGACAUAAGCUAUCAUCUAUAUGUUGCGCAGGCAUUUGGAGAAGCAAAGCGAAGUGCUUAUGGAAGCAUACAGGGCAAUGUCCCAUGAGCUACACAGACUUCAGGUGGACUUGAAACUUGUGUUAGAGACUGAAAUUUUAAAAAUAAAAAGAGAGAGAUAUUUUUGGGACAUGUUUGGCAUUAAUUGUUUUUUUCAUUUUUGUUUUCCUAAACUUCUAUUCCAUGUGAAUGAAGACACCUAAGAAUGGGCUUAUCUAUUCUUCUAAUUGUUGGUUAGUUUGCAUUCUUGCCUUAAAAAAUUAAACAAAAAAGAACCAAAUAAGCAAAGAAACUACUUACUGCUCUUGUUUCAUUUAUUUUUCGUCAAAUGAAACCCAUAAAUGCAGAAUUGCAAACAAUCUGUAGUAUAUCAUAGAGGCCGUCUGCAGGCACCUUCAAUUAUGUGAAAUUUGAGGUAAACAAUAACAAAACAAAGUAUAAGCAAUGCCAGAUGUGCACAUACUAAUUGCCUUUCUUCAUGUGAAGGUGGAAGAAGAAAUGCUGAUGCAUAAACUAUACCAGCUGAUGUCUGCUGAAGGCCUGAUUAAGAAGGUAUUUUUAUGUUGUCAUUCAAUCCAUGUAUCUUAUUUUAAAUGUUACCUCAUUGAUGCAUUACUUUAUGAUUAGUCGUGUACAUAGAAUUUGACCUGUUACGACUUACGAGGAGAAUGCAGCCUUCUAUCUUUCUUUCCAGUUUCUUAUCCUUCUUAUCAUUUCUAUCAUUAAUGUUCUGAGUAAAAUUUCAUUUGGUCAUUGUAUCUUGCAGUAAAUCUAAAAAGGUGUACUUAAUUCUCUCUGCUAAUUUUUGUCCCACUAAGGAAUCAAAACCCUCUUUGAGUUGCAUGUGUACACUUCACAGCAACGAGAUAGCAUUGUAGGAUGAAGUAAGAAUUUGUCAUUUGCUGUCGAACGGGCUAGAAGAGAACCGAAUGUUUGAAAUGGAAUCCGAGAUAUUGUCUAUGUAUAUAAUGCUGGCCGCAAGUUCAAUUGAAGAGAUUCAUUGGAGCAACACCCUAAGCCAAGAUUUGGAAAUACAAUUUUUCACGAAUCCAAUCUGAGAUUUGAUGUAUUUUAUAUCCAGCAUAUCUAGGCUUGAUUUACAAGAGAUCAAAUUGCCUAAGAGAAGGUCAAGAUAUGUAAAUGAUCUGGUCAAUCCUUAAUCUUGUUAGAAUUCCGAGUCUGAUACCAAAUAUAUGUAGUUAUUGAAUGCUCUAGGCUGGUCGUUAGGAUUUGUCGGGUCUCUUGUUGGUGAACCAGUGCAGAACAACAGACUCCUUGAGGCCGUGAGCCGUGAUCUGUAUUUCUUCCUCUAUGUUCAUUUUCCAUUAAAGAAAGGUCGCAAUAGCUUUUAAGCCCUUCGUCUGCUUCCAUUGCCUUCUUGUUAGACUUCCAGGUAUCCAAAAAGGUCCUCGUCUUUUCUAGAGCUUUCGAAGGUCUCAUAUCUCGAGAAAUCUCCUAACAGCCUUGAAAUAAAAUCCUCUACAUACUGCAGAAAAAGAAAUGACUUGACAGUUUUUGCAAAGAUAUCUAAAAAUUGAAAGAGCAAAUCUCCCUGUGUUUCUCAUCCUCCUUUACUUGGCGUAACGGUCUCGAAUCUUUCAUGCAGGAUAAGAAAGGAGUGCAGCAGAAAUCAGAGAAGGAUUCAAGUGAAUCAGCGCAGGGAAUUUAAUGUGUCGUGUGAACAUGAACAGGGCCGUCUCGCCUCAACAAGUGGAUUGGACUCGGUCGGUCUUUGAUGCCGAUCUACUCUUAGCACCAUUCUUCUUCUUGAUGACAGAUCGAUCAUUAAUUUCUGCUCGUGGUUGAAUCAUGAGGAUCCCCCCAUUCACGGAAAUGGCGAGCUCGGAUGUUCGUCUGUAGCCAAUUUACUGAAGAGAGUUUUUCUUUUUUGAAAUAGUUUGGAUUAGUUUUUUUUUGUGUUCGAUUAUCUGCAUUGUAGUUUGAUAACCCCCACACGGAAUCGGUGUACAAAUAGCUAAGUAUCAUCUAAAAGUAUAUCAAUGUGUAAAUGUUUAACUUAUAUUUUCUUUCAUAUGCUUGAUAAUAACAAAAAGUUGUUUCUAAUUAAUUUGCGCCCAGUUGCGUUGAUCACUGUUCUCAUGUUGGUGGAGUUGAAGCUUCUUCGAAAGCUCUGUUUCGGGCAAAACCAUUUGAGGGAGUUUUAACAUUUGAACCUAUCAAAGUAAGAGCUUCAAAUCCAAGUUUCUAAUUUUACUACUUUUUUUGUCGCAGCGAAAGUUUCAUAUAAAAGCUUUUUCUUGCGGCAUGUCCGAUACUUUUUUUCCUGGAGUUGAAAUUGUGUUUAGAUUAGAAGCACUGUUUUAGAAAUUUAAUAUAAUUAGAAUUAGAAAAAACUUCAAAUAUCGCCCCUCUGGUUUCACAUUUUUUUACUUUAAUAUCUUGUAAUUUAAAAUGUAUUAAUUUAGUGUCUUGUGAUUUUAUUUUUAUUUUUUUUUAUCGAUUUCACUAAUUUUUUUUGUUAAAUCAGUGAUAAAGUUAAAAUUAAAGAGUACUAAAAUAAAUAUUCGAUAAAUUUGGAUAGAGUAUAUUAUAUGCAAAAUAUUAACAAAAAAAUUAACGAAAAGAUAAAAAAUAAAACAACACGACACUAAUUUGAUAUACUUUAAAUCACAUAAUACUAAAAUAAGAAAGGGGGAUACCAUAGGGGUGAUAUUCGAAGUUUACUUUUAGAAUUAUAAAAAGCUAGGAGUUUUUAGGCCUAAAAAAAAAAAAAAAAUCGCACUAUAAACCCAUUUCAGAAUUGCAAAUAGUUGAGGGGUCUUCAAGCAUAUUUCACCCCUGCUCUCUACUUCUCCAAAAGCUUGACGAACCCAAACACACUCUCUCUCUCUCUCUCUCUCUCGUGACAAUGUCCUCCGCUUCCCCACACCGAUCGUACGGCCACAAGGGCUCCUCCUCCUCCUCCUCCUCCUCCUCCUAUCGAAACCCUAAUAAAAGGUUCGUCCCCAAACCCCACCCCUCUCCCUCCUCCUCCUCCUCCUCCUCCUCCGAUCCUCCCAACCCCACGCCGCCGCAUCCGACGCUCACCACCUCCCUUAGGGCAUCCUCCGAUGCCUCCUCCUCCUCCUCCCGCUCCGGAUCCAAGGCGGGGCGCAGCGGCGGCGGCGACGGCGGCGGCGGAGGGGGAAACUUCGUCGCCUACCUCCCCCAGGACGAGGCCGUCGCCUCCGGCCUCGGCGCCGACGCGGGCGGCCUCGACGCCGUGGAGUCGCAGGCCGUCGUUGACCUUCUCAACGACGAGCUCGCCAACCUCCUCGCGAUGAAGCCGAGGGACUUCUGGCGAGAAGGUGCGGCGACCCGUAGCCCCUUCAAACCCUAAUCUCUCUCGCUGAAAUCUAAUUUGUUUGUGCUUUGUUCUUUUCAGUGGUGGGGAAUGAUUCGUUGCAUGAGUUCUUGGAUAGUUACUUGCAGUUCAGGCACAGGUGGUACGAUUUCCCACACCGCGGGGCGAGGGGAACCGUCGCAGGUGUCGUCGUCGGGGAGCUCGAGCUCUGCCGGAGGGUCUUUAUGGUCCUCUAUCGGAUGUGAGCAUCUAAGUGUUAAUUCUUAUCUAUUUUAUAGUUUAGGAUUUUCUUUGCAUUUGUAUGUUAAUUGUAGUAUUGGGAAGUAACCGAGUUCUCUUAAGUUGAAGGGUAAUCUGAAUAUAACUUUUCUGGCAUAUCUCCUUGCGUCUACGAUGAGUGAGAAGGAAUAGAUAAUCCCAACUUAUAAAGAUAUAUCAUAUACCUCCUAGAUCAUUAUAUGAAGUACUAUCUUGAAAAGUCAUGAUUAUUGUGGAGUGCAGUGGAUUAAAAUUGAAUUCUUUUGUCAUGUUCACUGGUGGAAACACCCUUUGAACACAGGUCAUCGCUAUACAUUUUGUUCCAACCAUAGUUUGAAAAGGCGCGCUUGAGGCACACGCCUCAGCGCCUAGGUGCGAGGCAGGUGCGAGGCGCGGGCCUCAGCGCCUCAACAAUAGCAAGGCGCAGCGCUAUAGCUGAGGUGCGCGCCUUAGGUGAGGCGCGAGGCGCGCGCCUCGCAAUAUCUAAUAGUAUAGGGUUUUUGGAUCCAAGUUUCGGGAUUGUUGGGUUUCGGAUUUAAGUUUUAUAUUUUAACUCUAUAAGAUAAUUAAAAGAUCAGAAACCCCCAAAAAACCCUAGUGAAUUCCAAUUCUUCUGCCCCUCUUCUCUCUUGCUCGUGUUCCCCUAUCUCUCUGUCCGUGGGCAUACAGCAGCAACAUCAGUCAUUGCUGGCAGUAGGAAAAAGCAAGCAACAGCUGUCGUAGCAAGAAAGCAACCUGCUGCAAUAGUUUUCAAGUUGCAGCGGGAGCAAAAACAGGAGCAGCGAUAGCAAGAAGACAAGAACCAGCAUGAGGCGCGGGCCUUCUUGAGGCGGAAAGAAAGCAAUCUGCUGCAGAAGUUUUCAAGUUUGCAUGUGUUUUCUUUGCUUUUGAUAGUUAUUUUUAUUUUUGUAUGAUUAUUUUGGGGUUUUUUUAAUGUAGAACAUCAAACUAAAUUAAGUUUAGUAAAUGUACUCCUCGCUUUCUUGAGGCGCGCGCCUCGCAGUGCGCCUCGCACCUAGGCUCCAAGAGAGUCUUGCGUCUUUUUGCGCCUCACGCCUUUUCAAACACUGGUUCCAACAUCCAUACAAGCACUAAGUUGCUAGUGUGAAGUAUUUGAAUAUCUUAUUUUCAGAACUUACUCUCACAGUUGGGCUCCAUUUACGUUAAAUGGAUGGAGAUUUUGCCUUCCUAAGUAAAUGACUAGUGGAAAUUAGGAUAUCUGCAUUAAGAACUUCUUUCUAUAAUUCAAUUUGAAAAAACCAAAUUUUCUAAAAUCUUAAAUUGGUAGAGAAGAGUGGUAUUUUGAUAUUUCAUGCUCCACAAAUAGUGUGAUAAUGUAAUAAAGUUGUAGUAGCUCAUACUGGUAAAUUUACCUAUGUUAUAUUUUUUCUGUUUGCAUUAUAGAUCUUCCAGCAAGGAUCCAGGGGCAAUUAAAAGUGAUUCUCUUAGUGUGAAAGAGCACACGGGUGUGUUUUUGUGUUUUCGCUUUGUAUGAUGCUUAAUCUAUUAUCUGGAAAUUGUCUACGAUACUACUCACUUGGUCUCUUGAUAGCCCUAUUGCAGGAAAAGAAGUUGCUUGACUUGCCGAAGUUGUUGGAUAUAUGUGCCAUCUAUGGGCAUGAUAAUGGAGAGCUGACUCGGUCGUUGGUAGGGGCUAAUUGUUUUAUUCUUUUCUUUUCAAUUAUUUCUGUGCCACUUUUUAUUGGUGUUUGAUUAUUGUUGAAAUGAUGUCCUCCCUCAAUUUAUUCAUUAUCAUGAUUUUGUUUCAACUAUCUACUUGGUGUGCCAUAGUAUCAAGCAGUUAGAAGAUCGCAACAACUGUAGCAAAUUAAACAAAUAUUAUUAAACAAGACGAUCAAAAUUUUUUCCCUUUUAUCAAAUCUUCAUGCAUCCAUCUUUGAUGAUUUUCAGAACAGACCAGACAAACUACAGAUCGUAAAACUACCGUCUAACCUCUGUUGAAAAAGAAAAGAUAAUGGUUUUUUCUUCUGAUUGUGUUCAUGUCCAAAACGCAGUAUUAUACUUGGAUGCCUUAAAACAGGAUCCUCAUGUUACAACUUCAGAUCUGAAAAUGGUGGUUUUUAUAGCUUUUCAGAAGCACCAUGACCUCCUAUUAGUUCAUGGUUUCAAAAUCUUAGUUUAUCUGGUUUUGUUAUGGGGAAAACUUUGUCACAGUGUUCUGGGUUCAACUGAUUGAAGUAGUGGUAAGAAAGUUUAGAAAGUGAAUUUUAGGCUUCAUCCUAAAAUAAUGGCCUAUGAGCUGCUGUCCUUAGGCACUCGUUUAUCUUUUGAAGGAAAAUAUGCAGCAUAUUCCAGAAAAAUAUGUAAUAAGCUAUGCGAGGGGUUAUUCCUAGUACCAUAUAAUAACUUUUUUUCGAGGAACAAUGCUUUGCAAAUUGUUGAAAAUCUUGCCAUUAUUGAUUAGCUUUAAGUAAAAUUUCAGGUCGUGCGUAUAAUCAAAUAAAUAAAAGAUAAUAGAAGUACUAUUUUGGGUACAGGUAAUUUGCAAAAGCUAAAUGAUAGAUUAAUUAAUAGAUAAAUGCUCCCUAUUUAAGGUUUUUAAAUAGUUGACGGAAGGUAAUUCUGAAAUAAAAAUCAAGAAGAUAAAACUUUAAAUUUCAUUAAGCUCUAUCAAAACAUUGUAAGUUGAGCUGUGAAUGGUGCGAUGUCUAAUUACUUCGGUUCAUGCACCAUUUUCUAAGUUGCACCGACUGUCGUAUUUUGCUUUCAAUUAGAUUAUUUCAGUCUUAACGCUUCGUGGAUAUCAUUGGAAGUCCCUUAUAUGUAGUAAUACAUGAAUGAUCAUUUCAUCAUAUUUUAACCAUUUUUUUGUUUCUUGUUUUUCCAGGUAGAGAAUGCUAUAAAAGCCCAACCAAAGCUCAUUGAUAAUGUUAGCACAGUGGCUUCCCAUUUCCUGAGCAUUGUUCACACAAUGCAUGAUCGUUGCAGCUCAUCUUUAGAGGUGCUCUCCUAAAAUUGUAAAAAAUAUAAUACGCCAUAUUUGUCGACAAAAAUUACGUUCCAAAUGUAUAUGCUUUUUUCGGUUCUGUUGUACUUAAGAUGACAUAUUUAACAUACAUGUUUGCAUGUGCAAAUACAGAUCCACAACAAUUAGCUGUAACUGUCUUUUCUGGGAAAAGGAAAACACCCUUUACCAUGCGGACUCUCAUUUCCUAAACUAAAGAAAUUGAAAUGGUCAAAAAUUCCUGUACAGUAUAGCCGCACCAAUGCAGAUUUAAUUAUUCCUAGAAAUAAGAAAUUGAUAGCCGGCUUCAAUUUGGGUCAAGUAGAACACUAAUCCCAAACUCCAGAACAAAAUGUUUAAUCAUCUUAAGACAAGAAGGUGGAGACUGGGGAUGCGCACUUAAUGGUCUAUUUUUGCAUUUUCAUACAAUGGAUUAUCGGCUAUGAUGAUUUUAGAUAUUGUCAUACAACCUUUAUAUUUUCAUUAACUGCUGGGAUCAUGGUAACUCUUCAGUGCCGAUUUUAGAUAUUUCAUGCGACUUUGCUAGUUCAUACAAAUUUACUUUUCACUUUGAUGCCUUCCUGAGCAUUUUAGAUGAGGUACAUUUUAGCCUGGGCAUACUCCGCUAUUUUGCUGAAAGUGAAAAAAAAGCUGAAUUCCCCCUUUUUCUUCUAUGUUGUGCACAAUGUGUGUUUUUGGGCUCUGCAUCAAAAAUUUCAGUUGACAAAAGCAAGUAUUUGCAUAGAUCAUCUGAAUAUUCAUCCUUGAAACAUGAAAACACCCUGUUGUUAAUGUUUAUACCACAAUCAACAGGUGAAAGAAAUCUUAUCUGUUUGCAUCUUUCAGGUACUAACUUUGUCAGCUGGACAUGAUGAUCAUGGAUACAUUCAACUUCACAAAGACUUUUUAGAGGCGAGUUUGCUUAAAUAAGACAAUAAAGCAGAUGUUCAGUUUGAUUUUCUUCUACUCUUUCUAUUUUGUGAGCAGAAUUUGUUCUCCUCCUCAGGUAAUGGACUUCAUAAAUGAUGCAGUGGUUACCUUGGAUUACUUUGUUGAUGCAUAUAGACCUGCAGCUUUACUGUUCUCUAUGUCAUUUGAAAUGAGGUAUACUAUCUGUUUAUUAACACAUAUCAAAUCAGACACAUAAUGUUAUGAUUUAUCUCUAUUGAUACAUCUGUUGCCGUAUUUGGUAAACCUGCUUGCUAUGCAGUUAUGGAGUCGAGGAGCUACUAAAAACCCUAGCUCGUUUGCAUGAUUCGUUACUUCCAUCAUUACAUCAAGGGUUUACAUUAAUUUCUCGUACAAUUAGCAGCAGCCAGAAGUUACCCAGUGGAACUCUAUCAGAUAUAGUUCUUAGCAUAAAUAUGCUAUCAAAAAGAAUUGUCAAAUUUAGCUGGAAACUGCUGGAGUUUAGCUAUUUAAAUGACCAAUCCAUUGAAGAUAGUCUUCUUCGAGCUGUUACCAAGAUGUUUCCAGCGAAUGUUGAGGAUCCUGCUAUAAGAGGAGAAAUUGUAAUUCAAGCCUUUAGAGAUAUUGUUGGAGAAGCUGCGUAUGGUUUACAAGAUAAUCUUGGUGGCGGGACUUUUCUUCAGAAUCUUGAGAAGGACUUUGAGAUGUUGAAUCGAAUUAACCGACUUCGGAGCAAUGGUCAAUAAUUCAUACUCAAUAACUAUGUGAAUUUACAAAAAAAGAUAAUUUAGAAACAAUUCUAUUUACAUGGUUUGGCCGUUAUUUGCGAGUAAUAUGCCGUAACUUUCUCCUCCUCUUUUUACAGGUUGGAUUUUUUUGGACGAGGAGCAGUUUCAAUACUUGUCCCAAAUUGCAACACCUUCCUCCAAGUCCUUGAACAAGGAACCUGCCUUACCUCUUUCUUCACUCAACAAUGAGUUACAAACCGAUGAAGAAGCUGCUAUUACUGAAUCCAAAAUUAGCCAAAUAAAGGACCUUUUCCCAGAUUAUGGUAAAGGCUUCCUUUCGGCUUGUCUGGAAGUCUACAAUCAAAAUCCUGAAGAAGUUAUCCAAAGGAUAUUAGAAGGAACCCUCCAUGAAGAUCUCCUAUCUCUGGACACUACCCUAGAACAGAUUCCUCCACGAAAACCAGCACCCAAGAGUACGAAAGAUAAAGGAAAAGGACUUUUACAGGAAACUGCUUCUCAAAAAGAUAAAGGAAAAGGGCUUUUACAAGAAGGUGCUCCUCAAAACAACAUUGUCCUGUCUUCCAAAAUAGAUGCUAAAAUUCAAGGAGAUGAAAAUGGUCCUUCUUCUUCUAUGCUAUCAUCGUCAUCAUCGUCAGCGUCAGUAUAUGGGCGAUACACCAGGAAAACCAAUGAAGAUUUGUCAGAUUUAGCUGUUCUUGAUUCGAGAACAGCUCUAGAUGCAGCAAAAACUGCUGUGCUUGCAGCAGAGUAUGAAUACGAGGAUGAGUAUGAUGAUUCUUUUGAUGAUUUGGGUCUAAAUAUUGUGGAAUCAGCUUAUGAGGAAUCAGAGAGCUCAGAUGAUAGGAAAGGUGCUUACCCAGAAAGAGCUUCAGCUUCGGAAACUGAAGCCUCAUCAAAUAAAUCCAACUCAAGAUGGGGCUCGCAGAAAAAGACGCAAUUCUAUGUCAAAGAUGGGAAGAACUAUAGCUAUAAAGUAUCUGGUUCGGUCGGUGUGUCGAGUGCUCAAGAAGCGGCUUUUGUGAAUCGAACGCAGAAAGAACUUAUUCACGGGCUCGGUCGCGGUGGGAAUGUGCCUGUGGGUGCUUUCGGGAAGCAGCUUCCUGAUGAAGAGAAAGACAAUGAGGUUACGAAUGAUGAUGAGGGUCUCGGAAGAGGGAGCUCAAACCCUCGCGGCAGGGGAGGGAGAAGAGGAGGAGGUCGGAAUCAUUAUAGGAAAGAUAGAGCGAUGAAGAAGCAUUUUGCCGGAUUGGGUGGUUUUUAGUCGCUCGCUGAUUCAAUGCCUUUUUCCUUGCAUAAGCGAAAAUUGUAAAUUUUUACGUGUGAGAUUUUAUACAUUGUGGAGUCCAUCUUGGGUGCUUUGAAAAGCACAUGAAUAGAGCCUACUCCUAACUUUUUACCCUUUAGAUCCAUAAUAGCAGGCAUCCAAGGGUCAAAACUUGGAGGCAUGCACUAUUUAUGUGCUUUUGAUAGUAUUCUUGCCACGCUGUAGCCUGACUAUAUUGUGCUGAGAUCACUUGUUUUGUAGAUUGCUGUUAAGUUCUUCAGUCAUUUACAGCAGAUCACAGAAGAGUACUUGUGCAGAUAAAAAUUCGGGCUUUUUUGGCAUUUGGUUCCCGCAAAAAAGUUUUUUUUUCAUAAAUAGCCUCAUCAAAUUUAUAAUUAUAAUUUUGUCCCUAUCCUUGUCACGCAAGCGUCACAUCAGCAUCACGCAAGCUGGCUGAAGAGGAGCGUUAAGUUGAACACGGAAUCAUUCACCGCGUUCAAACACGAUGAAUGGUUUAUCGUGUUCCAUAUUUAUAUUCUUUCUGUUCAAUACUUAUAUUUUUUCGUAAUACAUAUAUUUUUCUUAGACACGGUGAAUGAAUUACUGUGUUUAACUUAUUUCAGUUUACUCGCGUGGCGCUUACGUGGCGCCCGCGUGAUGGGAAUAGGGUGAAAAUUGUAAUUAUAAAUCUGGUGGGUUAUUUGUGAAAAUAACUUUUUUGAGGGGGCCGGAUGUAAAAAAAGUCCUAAAAAUUCCUUUUCAGUUGUCAAACACUUGAACUCAGAAAGCUCGUGUUGGGAUUUGGGGGUUCAUUUAGCAAAUUGUGUAUUGAUCAGUCUUUCUGUGGCACUUUUACUGUUCUUGGUGAGGUUUCACUUGCUUGUAGACUAGUUCUCUGGAGCUAUACUCCAUUUGUAUUGGUAUUUUUGUAGCUCGUAUGUUUCACUUUCUUUUCUAUUUUUUUGAACACUUGAGAGUUUUGUGAGCAUGUAUUAGUCUUUACUUUAAAUGAAGCUUUAGAUUGGUAUUCGCAAACAAGAACAGAGUAUGCAGUGCAUCAGUUCAUAGAAGAUUAUGUUGUGGGAAAUGCAUUCAGGAUGAUCGAGCUUUGUGACGAGGGUUCAAAUGAAAUUCUGAGACUUCCUGUUGCUGCGUUUAGUAAUUUGGUCUAUUGUCUUGGAACAUAAUUUUUGCUUUUACUUUUAGUUUCAGAAUUUUCAUCUACACUAAUAGUUGCUGACAUGCAGUUUGUUGGAUCAUUGGCGCUAAUUAUGAAUCCUAAAAGUUUGAAUUGUUAGAAAUGUGCAACCACCCAAUCCGGCUGUCCAUGGGUCUGGAUUGUCACUUGGUGUAACCAGUUUCAUGUCAUUUCAAGCAUGACGCGGUCUAACCUAAUCUUUGCCACAAGACACGAUGCUAGCUCUUUAAUCUAAUAAUUCCUUCCAGUGCAAGUACAAAUUCGUAGCAUGCGGGAAUUAAACCUUUGAUUUCUAGCUCUGAUACUACUUGUCGGAUUAUUAGCGCUAACUAUUAAUUUCAAAAACUCGAGGUGUCAGAAAAAUUAACCAAUUCACUUAAAGUGUACAGACACAACACCCAUGGGUCUCGAUUGUGAUUCAGCCCAACCAGCCUCACUCCACUUCGCACAUGGCUCAACCCAAUCUGACUUCUCGCCAUCUCGAACAUGAUUAGGCCUAAUUUGACCUCUCGUCACAAGGUGGAAUGCUGGGCUUUUUAAGCCAACAGAGAUGAGUUAUUAAUAAAUGAAAAUGCUAGAUGUACUGUGACACCCCAACUUUCUAGAGGGUCAUCCAUCCUAAGACUACUCCCAUACAGACACAACACCCAUGGGUCUCGAUUGUGAUUUAGCCCAACCAGCCUCACUCCACUUCGCACAUGGCUCAACCCAAUCUGACUUCUCGCCAUCUCAAACAUGAUUAGGCUUAAUUUGACCUCUCGUCAUAAGGAGGAAUGCUGGGCUUUUUAAGCCAACAGAGAUGAGUUAUUAAUAAAUGAAAAAUGCUAGAUGUACUGUGACGCCCCAACUUUCUAGGGGUUCAUUCAUCCUAGGACUACUCCCGUCCUAACACACUUAAUUCUCUUAACCUCUUGGGCCUAGUCACCGUUCAAAAUACUUAAGCCGGGUUAAAAAUUUUAGCCAUAUUAUAUUUUAUUUAUAGGACUACAUAGGGUCUCACAUUCUCCCCUCCUUAAGCCCUGACGUACUCGUCAGGUUCAGACUCACAAGUACAAGAAGAUGUGGGACUCGUCUUGCUAGCCUAAAUCGACCUUGUAGUGAGCUGCGUUCUACCCACAACAGUCAAUAGCAUGAGAGUCUCGCUCUUCUCGCUGUAUAAUUCUAAUUCAGUUGAGAGUUAUCUGGCACUUUCGACUGAUAAUUAGCUCUGAUACUAAUUGUGACGCCCCAACUUCCUAGGAGGUUAUCCAUCCUAGGACUACUCCCGUCCUAGCACGCUUCUCAUCCUAACACGCUUCUCAUCCUAACACGCUUAACUCUUUUAAUCUUUUGGGCCUAGUCACAGCGCAAAAUGCUUAAGUCGUAUUAAAAGUUUGAGCCCUAUUAUAUCUUAUACAUAGGACUACUUGGGUCUCAUAUGUACAUCCCUAUAUGUUAUUGAUAAAUGGAUUUAGGGGUGUACAUCUUACAACUCUUCCAUCAAGGAUUUAUAAAAUUUCUUUGGAUUUUUAGUAUGUAAAAAAAAAAAAGGUUAAUUGCAUACACGUCCCCGCGAAUAUGAUGAAUUGUAAAUAUAUCCCUACAAAGUUCAACUUUCAGAUGUUAUUCCUGCAAAGUCAUAAUGUAUUCAAAUAUGUUCCUUUGGUUAGGAUCCGUUAGAGAGCUGUUUAUUUUUUAACAGUAAAUUUGUAAAAUGAAAUUUUUGCCCUCACAAAUAUGUUCCUCUAAAUGCUCCAGCUGGCAUAUGUUUGCAGAAAUGCCCUCCCUUUUCCUCUUUCUCUUCCUUUUUGGGCUGCGGAAGCGUACGUCGGCGGCGACGUUGUGGAGUUUGUCGGAGUUGCGGCCGAUAAGGAUGAGGGUGAGGCCCGCUGCAGCGAGGUGGAAGGCGAAGGUGCGGCCGAUGCCGAUGGGGGUGCAGGAGUCGCCGACGACGAGAAGCUGCUAGCCCUUGGUGCGGGUGAGGGCACGGAGGGCGCCAGUCGGUGGGGACGAUGAGGCGGUGACGACAAUCCAGCGCUUGGAGUAAAAGAGGCGUAGCGAUCGGAACUGUCGUGGGGCCGGACGGGCGGGACAGCGGCCCAAUCGAUCUGGGGUUAGGGGGCGCAGCUGCCGAUGAUUCGCGAAGCGGAGCGGGUCUUGUCGAGGCAGAGCAGCGCGACGGUGUCGGUGUCGCCGGCGCUGCGGAGGAAGAAGAGAGCGGCAACAAUGGCUGCGGAGGAAGAAGUGGGAGGAAGAAUAAGGUAAAAUUAUCCAUUUAUCUUAUUAAUUAAUUAUGAUUAAGUAUUUUAACGGUAGUUAACUAAAUUUAUCUAACGGAUGCUAACAGUAGGGACAUAUUUAAAUAUAUUAGGACUUUUGCGGGGUUAACUUAUGAAAGUUGAACUUUAUAGAGAUAUAUCUGUAAUUUAUCAUAUUUAUGAGGACCUGUAUGCAAUUAACCCAAAAAAAAAAUGUGAAAAAAAGAGUGCAUCUUAGCCUUUCACCAUGUUUGUGGGAAUCUGUAUGCAAUUAAUCCAAAAAAAAAAUUAUGUGAAAAAGAGAGUGCAUCUUAGCCUUCCGAAAGUUAGGACGCAAAAUUAAGACAAUAUAUAUGCUUAGGUGUAUGGAUAUCAUUGCUCUUAAUAAAAAGAUUAGAAUGUAUAGAGACUAGUUGAACUUUAGUCUAUUUGAGCUUUCUUUUUAUUUGAUUUAUGCUCUCUCCAUGUACUACAAGUUUAAUUUAAGUACUUUUCUUGGCAGUUCUACUAGAAUUAAAAAAAGGGGAAAACUUCAAAAACCCCCCUUGUGGUUUCGUGCAUUCUCACUUUGCUACCCUGUGGUUUAAAACGUAUCAAUUUGCCCCCCUGUGGUUUCGUUUUUAUCUUUUUGUUAUCAAUUUUAUUAUUAUUAUUUUUUAAAAUCAGUGACAAAGUUAAAAUUAAAGGAUACUAAAGUGACUUUUCGAUAAAUAUAGAUGGUUAUCUGAAGUUUUUUGUAUAUAAUUUAACGAAAUAUUAACGAAAAAGCUUCCGAAAAGAUAAAAAUGAAACCACAGGGGGGUAAAUUGAUACGUUUUAAACCACAGGGUAGCAAAGUGAGAAUGCACGAAACCACAGGGGGUUUUUUUUGAAGUUUUUCCUAAAAAAAGCCAAUAAAAUGUAAGGCCGAUAAAGUAAAUUAGCAGGUUCAUAUUGCACAACAUUCUUCAAUUAUAACAAACAAAUGCCAAGCCAAUAAAAUAAUAAACUAUAAGUUAAAAAACUAAAUAGUAUUAAAAUAUUUUAAAAGUUGAUAAAAAAUUAUUUCUUACAAAGUCAACGAUCCUUCAUUCCUUCGAAAUAUUAUACUUAUUUAUAGUCUUAUCAAGAAAAAAACACAAAUAAAAUAAUAAAGUCCCAAAAUUGCUAAGAAAAGGAUUUAAAUCGAAACUUUAGUAGAUAGGAGUGUGAAUCAAAUAAAAAACUAAGUUCAGAUGUUAAUUUCAAAAUAUACUAAAGUUCAGAGGAUGUCUAUACAUUUUAACCUUUAAAAAUUAGGGAAAACUUCAAAAACCCUCCCUAUGGUUUCGUAAUUUCUCACUUUGCCCCCCUAUGGUUUAAAAUGUAUCAAUUUGCCCCCUGUGGUUUUUUUUCUGUUUUUCUUAUCAAUUUCAUUAUUUUUUUUUCUUAAAUCAGUGAUAAAGUUAAAAUUAAAGGGUACUAAAGUGAAUAUUUGAUAAAUCUAGAUGGGUAUCUGAAGUUUUUUGUAUAUAAUUUAAUGAAAUAUUAACGAAAAAGCUACCGAAAAGAUAAAAAUCAAACCACAGGGGGGCAAAUUGAAAUAUUUUAAACCACAGGGGAGCAAAGUGAGAAACUAAGAAACCACGGGGGGGUUUUUGAAGUUUUUCCUAAAAAUUACGAGCAAUGUUGCAUCUACAAUCUACUUUUGAUUGUAGAUCUUACAACUGGUCCAUCCAAGAACUAGUUUUUACUUGCUUAUCACAUUAUUUUUUUUAAUUACUAAAACUCAAUUUUAAUUUAUUAUACCACAAAGGUUAGAUGAGAGUCGUAACCCUCCCAAGCAACCCCUGUAUUGUACACUUAGUUUUGAUAGAUUCUUGAGAAAUAUCCAAGUUUAAAAAUUUUCUAUUUUAAUUGGAAGUUAGGAGUGUAAUUUUGGCUCCUUAUAAAAUAUUGACAUUCAUAAUUUAGUACGAUUAUAUAUUUAAAAUUUAUUUUAUUGUCAGAAAAUAAAUUUUAAAUAAAAAACUAUUUUAGGUAUUUCAUUAUUUGUUUUAUCUGCGAAAUAUUAUAAUUUUUUGAGCAAAAAUAUGUCGAAUAGAAUAUUCAUGUAUUAAAAUAGACUUUUAAUAUCUUUAAAUUUACUAAAAAAAACUACAGCUAAAGUAGAAACAUCUGGAUGAUAGAUAUUCUACUUAUACGUAUCAAUCUCUAGACAGAACAGAUUAUACAGAUACCUUUCAGUUUCGAAAUCGUGAUUAUGUAAAUGUUGGCGAACAAUAUUUUAGCAAAAAAAGUUAUUCUCUUUAUUAGUUCUAAUCAAAGACAAUUAAAAAAUUUUACAUUAAAUGAAAAUUAAAGUUAAAUUUUAUUUUUAGUUUUUGUAAUAAUCUAUUUUUCUAUAUCUCUAUAUCUAUGUAUUAUUUCUUCUAAAUUUGCCACAUGAUAACAUUCUCUUUAUUGUUGAAUGUGGGCUCCGCCUCGAACCUGUUCAAAUCUUUUUUCUUUUUUUGCUUAAACUAGACCUAUCAUAUUUGAGUGUGAGCUUUGCUGAACCGGCUCAAGCCUUUCACAUUUGUUCUCUUUUUUUUAUUUGAACCGAAUAUGGUUUCUUUCUUUUUUUGUUUGAACCGAACCAGGUCAACCUGUUGCAUUGGCCCAAAUCAACCUAACUGCUCCACAUGGUUUCAUCUUUGAUUUGAAUUUUUUUUGCUUGAACCGAAUCGAUCACUAUCUAGUGUAGGCUCCACAUCGAACCGGCUUAACUUUUUCUCUUUCUUUGCUUAAAUCAAACCGAAUUUUAUUUUACUUGAAUUAAAUCGGAUCUUCAGCUGUUACUUUCGUGCAUCCGCAAAAUUAAUCUCGCUCCCAUCUUUCAUCAUCUUUAUUUUUAUUUUUUUUUAAUUAUCUAUCCAUCUUAUCUUACGGAUUAUUACACUUAUUUUUUAGGGCUUUUUUUGAAAAUGACCCUGUAGAAUUUUGUAAUUGGCAAAAUGACCCUCUGAAAAUUUUAUUUGUAAAACUAAUCCUCCUUUUGCUACGUCGGCGCCACCUCAGAUUUUUCUCGCGAAGACGGUGAAUCGUUCACCGUCUUUGCAUAUAUCUCAUGAAGGCAGUGAAUGGUUCACCGCCUUAUGAAGGCGGUGAAUGGUUCACCGCCUUACCGCCUUAUGAAGGCGGUGAGCCAUUCACCGCCUUUAGAGCAAAACCGCUCCCCCGCUUUCCUUAGAAGGCCACCUUUCCAACUGUCCUGUGCCCUCGAGAAGACGGUAAAUGAUUUACCGUCUUAACUAAGACGGUGAAUCAUUCACCGUCUUUAUUGUAAACCCUCCAUCCAAGCCAAAUUUGGCCAAGUCCUGGAGGCGGGGCUAAAACAGAGAUAAGACGGUGAAUAGUUCACCGUCUUAUUAGUGCUGCACUAAAGACGGUGAACUAUUCACCAUCUUUAGUGUAAACACCCAGGCCUAGGAAAGACGGUGAAUCGCUCACCGUCUUCACACUUAAUGAAGACGGUGAACGAUUCACCGUCUUAUCUAGGUAUACCCAGCCCCAGACCCCGACACCUCUCCCUCCCUCUUCGCUCUCUUUCUCUCUCUAUCUCUCUGUCUCUAUCUCCCUUUCUGCCCAUUCCUCUCCAGGAGCCGCACCUCGGUCGCCGCUGCCCUCGCUCGCCGCCGCCCCUGCCGACGUCGCCGCCGCCGGUCGCCGUCGACCCACCGAGCCGCCGCCCAUGCCACAACAACCCACAUUACAAGUAUAAACCUCUCUUAGCAAGUUUAAACUAGGUUUAUCGAGUAUUGGGAACGGCUUCAUUAAAUGAAAAGGUCGAAUGCUGUUGUUUCACGACAUUAGUACAUGUAUUAUCAGUAAUAUUUAAUAAUUGUUAUAUAAAGCUUCUCCUAUUUACAUUCACCUGUCUAAUUUAUUGUAAUUUAUUUAUAUAUUUGGGCGUGGGACCAUCUUCAUGUCGGUCGAUCUACUAGCGUUGGAGCUAUUGCCGACAUGGCUGAUUGCCCUUUGGGUUGCCGGUAUGACAAUUAAAUAUGAUACAUAUUACAUUUCUAUAUAUACAUUUGCAACUAGCAUACUUUUCAAAUAUUAGGUGGACGAACGCCGGCGGGUUACGUUUUGGGGCAAAUGUUAGGACGACAGAUAUUGAGUUCUAUAAAGAUGAGUUAGAUCAGCAGCGAGCGUCUCAGGUACGUAUUAAUGCAACAAUUUUUCUCAAUAUACAACCGUAUUAAUGCAUUCAGCUGACUAUUAUUGGCUUUUUCACAUAUUACAUGGCGGCCGUACACAGAUGCUAUUAUACAUGUGCUACCGGCAUUCUGUGUACAGGGUAGUGAGGUUUGGCGAUCGAGGACGACACUGAUUUGCUUUCAUAUUGUUGAGCUUCACGUGCCCGAUCGAGUCCUACGGCAGUUUGGUCUCCUCCAGCAUAUACCAAUUCACGUGGAGACCAUCCGUCGCAUCACAUCUCAGGGGCGGCCAGAUGAGGAUUGGGUCCAGUUUCAUGCUGCACACAUCGAGAGAUGGGAAUAGAGAUUACAGGCUAUUAUUGACCAGCAUCCGAUUGUCGGUGAUGACCCGGUACAGACAACAUCUAUUUAUAUGGAGUGGUAUUGGCAAAUCACAAGAAGAUGGAUUUCUCGUCCAGUACAGCGUCCACCAUUGACUUACCAGCCUCGCGGCCAGACCGAGAGAGAUUUGGUACGAUCACUCAUAUGUUAAAUUUUUUUAAUCUUUUAUUUAAUAUAGAUUGCAAAUAGUGAGCUCUUAUCUAUAACGCAGGUGGACGCAUUACGACAGGCUCAAUGGGCAUCAGAGGGCUAGUUCAUGAUCGACCUUCUUACGAUGCGAUGAUGGAGACAUUGACGAGCAUGGAUGUCCAUAUUGAGUCAGUACUGGAGUACAUUCCUUCCAUACCUGUCGCCGCUGAUGUUGGAGGUUGAGAUUUUGAUCAACCCUCGACAUCGGGUCAUCACAGGAGACACUCACCGACAUCGACUGGAUCAUACUCGAGAUCGAGCUUACGAGUGUCACGAUCUCCAUCUCCUAGUGAUGUUACAGAUAUGCUCAUCGCCCCUUCAAGAUUUCCUUCCUUGCCAUUGGAUUUGGACUCGCUUCCGCCGCUAGUCUCUCGAGAGCACUUUAGAUUAGUCUACUCUCGACGUCAUGCCGCGUCAUCAUCACAGGCCCGCCCAGCAUCUACACCGGCCACUAUCGAGGGUGAUCGACCUGAGCCAGAGGAGACUGAGGCGAUUCCGGAGCAUCCCGAGGGCAUUAUCAUUGCGGAUCUCGAUCAGAUGGCCGGUAUCGAGGCACUUGAUGACGUACCUAUUGCUGAGCUCGAUGUACAGUGUGGCCGUAGACGUGGACGUGGCCGUGGCCGAGGACGUGACUGAGGACGUCGAGGGAGAGGAAGAUCGAGAGACUGAUUGUAUAUUUUUGAUUUAGAGAGCAUACUUUGUAUAAUAUUAUAUAAUACUUUAUUUAGUUCAUAUUUGUAUAUUUGUCUGUGUUUUGUUUGAUAUUUUUAUCCGGUUGAUUGUAUCUUGUUAUUCCACUUGUGAUGUUUUGUUUCUUGUUGUAAUAUUUGUUAUCGUGAAAAUACUUGUCUCAAACUUGUUCAAAUUGAAUUUAAAAUCGAGCUAAAAAAUAUCACCUGCUGCUGUUUGCACUAAAGGCGGUGAACCAUUCACCGCCUUUAGUACAAAUCCUCCAUAGCCGCAAAAAAUUGGCUAAGUUCUGGACUGGAGGCCGUUUGCACUGUAGAAAAGGAGCACACCACAUGUAAUCCCGCAGAGAACUGAGCAGGUCUGGGCCAAUCUAGAGGGGGAAGGAGGCGGGGCGGUGUCACGCCCGGGUACCAGCGGAAGCAUAUCCGGUACGUGCACAGACCCGCCAUACAAUUGCAGUAUAUAAGGCGUCUACAAGAAGCAAGUCGAUAGGAAGAGGCAUAGUAGUAAAUGGUUCACCGCUUUUAGUGCAGCCAUGAUAAGACGGUGAAUGAUUCACCGAUUCACCGUCUUAUCUGUACUUUAGCCCGGAUUCGAGGACUUAGCCAAAUUAGGCUGGGUAGGAGUUUUACUCUAAAGACGGUGAAUAGUUUACCGUCUUAGGAAGACGGUGAACAAUUCACCGUCUUAUGUAGCUGCUGGUUCGAGCACUAGGGGCACUGAGAAAGCGCGCGGCAAGAGCACUGAGAAGGCAGUGAAUGGUUCACGCCUAGAGAAGACGGUAAACCAUUUAUCGUCUUCUCAAGGAUACUAUAGAAGAUUCACCUCCUUUAUGAGACAUAUGUAAAGACGGUGAACGAUUCACCGUCUUUGCGGGAAAAAUCUGAGGUGGCGCCGACGUGGCGAAAGAAGGGUUAGUUUGACAAAUAAAAUUUUCAUAGGAUUAUUUUGCUAAUUACAAAAUUCUACGGGGUCAUUUUCAAAAAAAAGCCCGAUUUUUUACAUUAAAACGAGUGAGAGAAUGUCCUUUUCCUUCUUCCUACGCCUCCAAAAAAAAAAAAAAAAAAACUUCCUCUCCUCUCUCUCUUCUCCACUCCUAUAAAUAGUGAGUGCACAUCGACGGCGAGGGUUACAGUAUCCCCUCCCUCCGCCGCCACGCUCCGCCGCACACCGCCGCCGGGAUCCGCCGUGAAGCCAAAAAAACCCUACCCUUCUCCGAUGAGUUCUCCCCCUCCGCGGCGCCGAUCGCACGCCUCCGCCUCCGCCUCCGCCUCCGCCGCCGCCGCCGCGGCGAAGGGAUCGUCCCAUGGCGACCACAAAAGGUUGCUACUACCCCUUGCUCUCUGCUAUCUCCUUAUAUUUCUGGUUUUCUCGGCCUAGGGUUUGGGGGAUUAGGGUUUGAGGUUAGUUGAUCGAAACGAUGAACUGUUUUAGGAAUUCCCCUUUUGUGGUUUAGUAUUUUGCCGUUAAUGUGUGUCGAGUUAGAUCUGAAUCUGAUUUAUGAUCUUUUGUAGUGCAUGCGUUUUCCAGUUUCUUUCUCUUUUGUUUAAUCUUUUUUGCUGUAAAUUGUUGAAAAUGAAAGGAAAUGACAGAAGAACUUAUCUUUCCGUGUCCUCCGCCUAGGGUUUGGUGGACUAGGGUUUGGGGUUAUAUGCGGUGAUGUGUUGUUGGAAUUCCCCUUAUCUGCUUUGGUUUAUUGUAGAAAAUGUGUAUCAAAUUAGAUCUGAACCUGAUCUUGAGCUAUUUGUAGUGAAUGCCCUUUCCGUCUUUUUUUUUUUUUUUCUGGAAAUAUUUGAGGAGGAAGGAAUACGAGAGAAGAAUAGAUAUAAUGCUAGAGGCGGAUAAACAAUGAAGGAGAAACUAUAAUACGCAAGAGGUGAAGAUGAUGGAAAUUGACAUCCUGAAAAGGAUUCUUUCUAUAUCCUCUUUUUUUUUUUUGUUUUUUUAGAAAUUUGAAAGAGGAAUAAAAUGAUGAACAUUGUAGAGAAGCCAAGAAAGAGAAAGGUCAAUCCAAAUAAAAACUCAAAUGUGGAGCGACUCGGAUGAAAUUGAGUCACUUGACCAAUUGAAGAUUCUGUACAUGGUGUGGGAUAUCGUAUAUAGGGUAGGUUAGUAUUAUUACACGUGAACUAUUUCUUAGUCUAAGAUUUCAGAAUUGAGCGAUAUUAGACGUAUCCAUGCUUGAAAUGUUAAAGAGUACAAGAAAGAAUGCAACAGCGUUCUGACCUCUGGCUGAUGACUGUAGUGCUACAUUGGUGUAGUUGGCCAUGGGUUCUGGCAUACCUCCUGAAAAUUACUAUCUCUGCUUGAACUUGACGCUCAACUGUAUUAUGCUUCUAUAGACCAGCCAUUUUCAACUUUAACCUAAUUCAUAAACUUGCUAGUUUUCUGAAAGGGCAUAAAGCAUUUGGUUCGUGUUUAGCCUAGCAUCUUCUUCUGCUUUGAGCUGCAUGCAUUUCUAGUUGUAGCAUCUCCCAAACAAAGUAGCUUGGAGCUUCUGCUGUGCCGGCAAAGUUGAAAUGGGAUUUCGAGGCACAAAAGCAAAAGCUCAAAUUUGGAUCUUCUACUUUUUUUUUUUUUCCAAGUGGAAACUGGUGGGAGGGAUUUUUGUGAAAAAGCUGGGUCAAACAGGCCUUUGGUAUGUUCUCGAAAAGAAAUUAUGCCCUCUUUUAAAAACAUUGCUGCCUGUGCCUUUUAGGUAAAUUUCCAUCAUUUUACUACUGCAUGAAGCUUCCAGAUCCAUAACCUUGUUGCCUAAAUUAUAUAAUACAAUAUUACUCUUAUUUACUAAUUUAUAUUUCUGGUUAAUUUUCUCUUUUACAGUCCGAGGAGGUCAAGAAGAGAUAGUAAAUGGGACACAGAGAGACCGCACUCCAGCAAUCGUUACUUAGAAAAUGAUAAUACAUUUGAUCGAGACCGAAAGCGAAGUAGGCGGUUUCAUGAUGCUGCACCACUGGAGGAACCUCCUGCUAGUGGAAAAGAAGUGCAAAAUGAUGUUGCAAAAAAAAGCUCUGACCAAAAGGUUGAUGGACUAUCUGAUGGCCCCAAACGUUCAUCUGAUCGAGUAGAUGCACCACGAUCUAGCUCUCACUUCCAGGUUCUACUACUUUCCAAUAUGUUAAGGGGCUUUUACAUAUUAUACAUAUAUAUAUUCCGACAAAAUUAUCUAUUUCUUGUAUUCCCUUGAAAGUGUGUUUUUUUCAAAAAUGAUACCUUGUUUGUAAGUCACCCAAUUCAUGGAAGGAAGUUGGUUUCGUAUCACAAAGAGCAUUCUAAAGAGUAGUAUUUGUGUAAAUGUAUAAUAAGAAAUUUACUUUUUGAAGGGCAUAUGUUAAAUCACAAAGAGUUAUGAGUGAAAUUAGCUUUUCUAUUAUGGCUAGAGAAGUAAGUUUCGAACACCUAUCUUAAAUUUUUUUUGUUGGCACUACAUAGCUGUUAUCAUGGUUUCAAGAUUAGCUUGAAAUUUUGAAACAAGAAGAUGACAUUUUUGGGGUUUGGUUUAUGCCAGCUGGAAUUGGUUUAAAGAAUGUUUAGCGUUAGAAAGUCAGCUCAAAUUGGCAAAAAGUAGUUUACAGGUGAACAUUUUGAUUCCUCCAUGAUCAUUCAAUUUGUAUCUCUUUUAGCCUAGUAUAAAGUCUUUGAUAGACUGCGAUUUAUAGCUAUAUUUCUUCAUAUAUGUAGCGCAAUACAUCAUUUUGAUAUAACAAAAUAUAGUGAAAUGAAUUUCUCAUCUGCUAGUUAGAUUCUUAAUUGAUGUUUUGAGACUGAAAAGUUGAAAUUGCUUAAUCAUGGCUGUUAUGACUUCUAUCUUAUACUCAAUUAGUUCAUAACCACAUCAACCCACUUUCUAAAACGCAAACUUGAUCCACUGUUUGAAAAUUCUUUUGUCUAUGUGGGUUUCAGGACAUUUUAGAUGAGCUUAGCCUCCUUUCUUUUAAAUUUUACUCCAGAUCAAAUAUAGUUGUCAAGUUGCUUGGAUUUCCAAUAUUACUGAUCGUAUCUUAUAUUUACGCUUUGUCCGUUUAAGAGCUUCGCUCUUUCUCACCCAGGAUUAAGAUAUAUGUUGUAUUUCCAUUUCUUUACUGAUUAGUUAACAUGCUCACUUUGCCUUAUUUUUGGAUAUCCAAUUUUUCAUCUUGAUGAUGGGUUGUUUGACUCGUUUCCUUCAUAGGGUAGCUGCCAUCAAGUUUUUGCUGUUAUUUUUUAACAAGUUUAUUUUAUGCCUUGUUGCCUUUUUAUCUUUUUUGUCGCCUAUAAGGUUUCUUGUGAUAAAAGGUAUCAAUUUUACUUCAUUAUAUUCCUUGUCUUGCAUACUUCCAUUGUGGUAGGUAGGGAUCUAGUUUUGGCUUUUGUGAGCUUUUCAUGAGCUUUUCAAUAUCAUGCAUAAAUCUGAUCCUGAGCUCGCAAUGACUCUUUUCUUUCUUUUUUUCUUUUUUUCCUUUUUCUGGUCUUGUGGGAAAGCUCUUGUAAAUAUUGUAAUGACAAGUAAUGGUGUAGCCAUUUAUGUGUAUGAUGCCUUUUUUUCUGGCAUUUCAUUGCUAAAUCUUCAGCAGGACACCUAGAUCUUUAGUUUAAUAUUCUUUUCUCAGUUGAAAAUUGCUACACAUGUCAUUCUAGACUUGUUCUUUUCCCCCCUCUAUUAUCCAUUAUUUUUCCAUUGAGUGGAUAAUCUAAAUCAAUGGGUAGUUCAGCAAGAAUGCUGGUUGGAUAAUAUUCUUUGUCCACUACUAGUGUUUCAUUUUGUUCAAACGAUAUAUUUCUCCUAAUCAAGCUGACUGUUGCUCGGACCUGUGCCCUCAAGUACCUUGUUGUAUACUAUGCUUCUAUGUACAGCAUGAUGAGCGUGGCAAUACUGGGCACGGUGGUCGAAGCUAUUCUCGCCGAGCUACUGGUGAUUCUCGAACCUCCUAUCAUGAUUUGUCGAUAGUCAUUUUUCUAUCACUACAAUGCAGUGAAGCCCCUUUAAGUGUUACAUUUUUCUCUUUGCUCCCUUGAAAAAUUAAAACUUACAUCUUGCCCCCUUAAUAAAUUGUCAAAGUGAUAGAUAUUUAGGAGUUAAGUGUGAUGAAAACUUGUAGUUAAGAUGGGUGAUACAUAAAUUCCACUCUUUCAGGGGAGCAGAACGAAAAUCAAGAUAUUGCGAAAUUUGAAGGGUCCCUUUUUCCGUAAUUUAGCCAUUCUUUGUUUCAAUCGUCGUGAUGUCCUCAGAUAUUUGCAUAUUUUUUUUUGUACAGACCAUGGAAGAAGGUGGGAUGAUCAGAAGGAAAGGUUUAAUGAUAGAAUCAAAGACAAAAUUGAGGAUCAUAAUUUGCCGAAGAAGGCCGAGAAGUACCAGUCUCGAGGGCACAACAAUAAAGAAUGGAGACACGAUGGGUUUUUCCAGUUGGAAUCCGAGGUGCCUCCUGCCAAGAGAAGACCGGCAUUUAGUGAGAAGAAGAUACCUAGAGAAUCUCUAGAUCAUGGAUUACCUGACAACAGUAAACCUGCAUCGGAUGCCGCACAAAGGGAAGAAAGGGGGCCGCAGUAUGUUCGAGGGCUAGAUAGGUCAGAUAGGCCAUUCAGAAGGGCGGAUGAGAGAAGCAGUAGGUGGGAAGAAGCAGCCUCUCAAGGAAGAGAAGUUCGCCAAGGUGGGUAUCAACCUAGAGAGAGAUUUGGCGGCGGGGGAAUGAGGGGAAGAGAGAGGUUUAAUAGUCAGUACAGUGAGAAAAACUCCUAUCAACCCGGUGGCGUUAAAGUAGAGAAAUGGAAGCACGAUCUCUUCGAUGAAGCCAAUAGGAGCCCAACCCCAAAGAACGAAGAAGAGCAAAUUGCGAAAGUCGAAGCCCUUUUGGCACUUUAAGAACUUAUAUGCACGAGGCUUUCUCGCAAGUAAAAUGGCUUCUCUGAUCAAUACAUUGGCUGAUUCUUGGUUCUGGGGCUUUCUGGUUCUCUGCAGAUAACCUUCAGUUGGAAAAAAAAAAAAAAAAAAAAAAAAGGAAAAGAAAAAGCAGGUUUAUUUUGAUUCUGGGAAUCUAGUAGAUCUUUUCUGCUGUGAAGGAGAGAUGAUUAUUUAAGAAAAGUUGGGUCUUGUUGAACUCCUGAUUGUGUGGAGACGAGUAUGUUAUCAUCGAAGCCGAUUCUUUCAAGAGUGAUGGUAAGGGUGCCUCAAAAUGUGCCGUAAUGCAGUUGAUGAGUCAAUUUUGUAUGAGCAAAAUUUCAUAAAAGGUUAUUUAGCUUGGAGCCACCCUGAUGAUGUAUGUUCUUCGAUACCCACAUUUCCUUUUGUUUUGAUUUCCAAUGCUCGCCUUUUGCAUAGACUGAGUAAUAGGAGCAUUUUAGUGAAAUGAUCUAAUGCAGUUUAUGCGUCAGUUUUAUAUAAGUAAUAUUUUAUUAGAAGUAAUUUAGCUUGGAACGCAUUCGAAAUAUGUACUUCGGUACCCAAAUUCCCUGUUGUUUAGAUUUUUACCCCCCAUUUUUGACAAUCCUUACAAUGUCUGUAUGUUUAAAGAUCAUAAAAUUUUUUUUUUUUUCUUCUCUUGCAAUGUAUCUAUGCUAAACUCUGUUAACACUGUUAAUCAAAAUUUUCACCUAUAUACUAAAUUAAUAAUUAAUAGCUAAUAAAAUUAUUUUAUAAAUUUUAAAAUUCAAUUAAUUAAAAUGUAAUUAAAAUAAAAAAUAUUUGGAGUAACAUUAUUGACAAAUGAUGUAUAACAAUCAAAAUGCCCAUAUGUUAUUAGAAGCCAUGUUUUUCAAGAUUUAUUAUCACUGACGCUUCCAGUAGUUUCAAAAUUAAUAAUACAGAAAUUAAUUUAUCUAAUAUGUAAGAAACAGAUAUUCAAUAACUAUAAUCUUUUUGUGUGUAACCCUAACUUUUAUGUAAUAUCACAAAUCGUAUCUAAUAAAUUACUUAUCAAUUUAAAGAUAUUUUUUUGCUUAUGGAGCGUGAAUGAUGCGAUAUGGUUUUUUUUAAGACAGUUUACAUGUGAGUGAUUAUUAAAUUAUAAAUUUAUAAAACUUAUUUGAACAAUAGAUCAUUUUAUUUCGGCUAUUUAAUUUUUUAAAACUUUUAACUUUAGUAUAUAAUUUUUUAAUUCAUUUAAUUUAAGUAAUUUGACGGCUUUUUGGAUAUAAAAUUUAAAUUAAUUGCUUAUUUUCAUAAAUUUACUGUUGCGUAAAUUGUAUAAAAUAUGCUAACUAAAUUCGAACAGAUAAACGAGCAUUCAAAAUUUAAGAUUAAAGAGCCACUAGUUAACCCAAAUCAAAACUAUGGACAAUUUUGAACCCUACUAUCCAAUCUUUAAAAAAUUUGAUUUACUAUCAAACCUUUCAAUUUGUUUGAUUUAAGUGAGUAAAUGUCACUUUAAUUUUAAAAUUUAAUCUAAUAUAUUAUUUUAAUAUUCUUAUAGCUACGAGAAUUAUAUAAAAUAUAUUAACUAAACUUGUAAAGAUAAAUAAAAUAUUCAAAUUUUAAAAUUAAAAUAUUAUUGUCAAAUUAAAAUUAAAUAAAUUAAAAUAUUGGAUAGUAAAGUUAUAAUUUUAAAAAAUUAAUAUUUCAUUUAAAAUGAUUCAUAUUUGAGAAAGGGAUGGAAUAACCCUUAACCCCCAUUUUAUCCCCAAACACUUCCCCAAACACUUCUAAAAAUGGAUGGGGUUAGCUAACCCCCACCAAAUCCCAACCAAAUACUAUUUUCUAUUCAUAAUAACCCACUAUCCUUCUUAUCCCACCUACUCCAACCAAACACUAUUUUUUACUAUCCUGGACUAACUCCAACUCCCAACCAAAUAUAAAAAUGCUCUAACCCUACCUUAAUCCUAAACUUAAUCCUAUCCCUGAAAUAACUAGUUUUUUCUUAACCCCGAACCAAACGGUAGCUUACAGUUCUACCAAUGAUUAGUGCGUCACUCUAAUAAUUAUGUUAUAGCAUCACUAAUGUAGUAAUGUCUAAAAUAAAAUGAUACGUCACUAUCACACGUCACUAUCACGCCAACAAGAAUUAUAGUAUUCGAGGAACUCAAUGGGACAAAGUUUUUAAAAAUUAACUACAAUAAUUUGAGAUUCUAGUUUAAAAUUUAUGGUAAACUUUAAAUACCAUCCCUGUUAUUUCAUAAUUUUUUACUUUAGUAUCUUAUAAUUUAAAGUAUAUUAGUGCUUUUAUUUUUUUUUCUUUUUGUCAGCCUCUCAGUAUAUUGUGAUUUACAAUGUAUCAAUUUAGUACUAUAUGACUUUAUUUUUUUUCUUUUCGUCAGUUUCUCUGCUAACUUUUCGUUAAAUUAUAUACAAAAAAUUACAGAUACUCUACGUAUGGUUUAUCGAAUAUUCAUUUUAUUACCCUUUAGUUUUAACUUUCUUACUGAUUUAACAAAAAAAAAUUAGUGAAGGGAUUAACAAAAAAAAAUAAUUAAAAUCACAUGAUACGCCACUUUAAACCAUAGGAUACUAAAAUAAAAAAAACGAAACCACAGGAGUGGUAUUUGAAGUUUUUCCAUAAAAUUAAAAUAAAAUAAUUAAAGAACCAAAAUUACAUCACCCAUAAUUGUUUGAAAAUUUAAAGUAGUUCCAUUUUUAAUAUUACUUCUCAAAUAUAAUAGAUGGGAACGCGUUUGGUUCGGCCUAGAAUGAAUUAAAAAAAUAUUUUUGGUAGGAAAAAUAAAUUUUUAUUUGUUUGGUUUAACGUACAAAUACUUUUACGAAUUUGAAAAAAAUUAAAAUUUUCGUUUUUCGUUGUUUUUCAGUAAAAACGAAAACUCAAACUGCUUAAAUUAUUUAUUUAUUUUUUUAUCAAAUCAAACAAAUAUAAAUUUUUCUUCAAAUCAAAUAAAUAUUGAUGAAAAAUUAUCUCUUUUUUUUCUACAAAUUAAACAUUACAAAACAUUAAAAAAAAAUUUCACCAAAAUUUUUUUUUCAAGAAAAAAUUAUUUUUUCGAUUUUAUGAUGGACCAAAUAGACCCUAAUAUAUCCAUCAACCCUUUUUUUAAAGUCAAACAUGUGACUUAGAAUUAUUUACACAAAAAAAAAUGACACAUGCACCCUUUUUAGGGUGAAAAUUAUUUAUUUUAUGAGUGAUGUUUUUUUUAUCAAUUAUAUAGUCCUGAUGAGUUUUUUUUUUUUUCUUUUUGAAGAAAAAUUUAGGAAAUGAAUAGAGUAUAAUUUACACUCAUUUUGCAGCAUGCGAAUACUAUUACUUAUGGAGAACAAUAUUAAAUAUUACAUUCUAGUCUUUCCGAUGUUAUAUGUUACUAUUUUAUUUAUUUUUUUAAAAAUAAAUAAAAUAAUUAAACUUCAAAUUUGAGACAUUAAAUAAUAAAUUGUAAGAUGUAUAUUAUAUAAUACAACGCAACAAGUAGCAUUUUCUAAUAGAAAUCAUAAAUUGCAUAUUAUAGUAACAAAUAAUAUAUAAAAUAAUGAGAAAAAAGUUAAAUCACGCUUCGAUGUCACACAUCACACUUUCGUUCUCAAAUUUUAAUUUAUUAUUAUAAUUUUUGAUUCAGACUUUAUAAAUUAGUAUAAUUAAAUUUUAUAAUUCAGUUUUGUUGACUAAAUAUUAGCUGUUGAAUUCAAAAAGAGACAACAAAAAAUUACGCUCAAACUUUGUAAAUUAUUGUAACUAAAUUUUACAAUUCAGUUUAGUUGACUAAAUAUUAGCACUCGGAUUAAAAAAGCGACAACUAAAAUUAUAAUAUAUUAAAGUUUCAGGACUACAGUGUCGCUACUCUGAUUGUUUGAGUACCAAAGUGUAAUUUAGCCAAAAAAUUACAAGGUUUCUCUCUCCUCCGAUCUCUUGUCUCUGUCUCUCUGUCUCUCUCUCUCCUAAUUAAUUCCCUUCUCUUUCUUCUUCCUCGAAACCCUAAUCCUUCUCCUCUCUCUAACACCAUGAAGGGGCCGGGGCUCUUCUCCGACAUCGGGAAAAAGGCGAAGGGUAUGAUCCAUUCCUCCUCUUCCACACCGUCUCCAAAUUCAGCUCAUUUUCCCUUUUUUUCCCUGUAAUUUGAUUAAUUUUUGUUUAUUUUUCUCAAUUUUUUGUUCGAUGAUUCAGAUCUACUAACGAAGGACUAUACCUACGAUCAGAAGCUCACCAUCUCCACCGUUACUGCUUCCGGAGUGGUAAACGCCUCGAUCCUUUUCUUUUUCUUUUUCUUUUUAAAUAGAUUUUUUAGCAUUAGUAUGAUUAAUUAUAGAGCAAUGGAUCAUUGUGAUCUUUGUAUUCUUAUUGUUGUUUGAAGUUGAAGAAUUGGAUCUGAUAUAUCAUCAUCAGUCAAUGCUCAUUUUGUAAUCGGCGAAAAUGUCUGGAGACCCCCUCAACUAUAGGAGAUUCUGAAGAGGCCACAUGAACUUUCAUUUGUUUUGAUUUUAAAUAAUUCCUGUCAAAUUAAUUGGGGAUCUUAAUAAAUUUGGUUGAAUUUACUCGUUUUACAGGUUUGUUAGUUGAUAGAAAUGUUGAUUCCAAUGUCCUACAGCUCAUGAAGUGCUCAAUUUCGAUGAAAAUCAUAAUUCAAAUUAUUGAAACAACUCUAGGUCAAAAUCAUUGAAAGUUAAGAGCGUAUCAAUCCGAAAAAAUGUAUAUAAUUUGGGGGGGUCUCUUGCUGAAUGGCCUAUAAUUGAGGGGUUCUCCUUACGUUUUUAACCUUUGAUAUAUGGUUGAGGCUCUAUGACUUUGAAUGUUGCGCUCGCUCCUAGAUGGUUGUUUGGAGUAUUCAGUUUUUGUACAUUUUAUUCCUCGGUAUAACUCGCAAGUCCUUUGUUCUACCUCGUUUUUUCGCUUGUGGAGGUAGUUGAAGGUUUGUUUAGUCAUUCUUGGUAAGUAAAUUUCUCACUAAGAUUUUUGUUAUUUUGUUCUUAGAUAACUGAAAGUUCAUCCUGCGAUGCGCAAUGCAAAUUUAAUUGUUUACAUAAUAAUUGAGUAAUAAUAUAUUUUAUAUAAAUAGAAUCAAGAAGAGAGUGACGGAGAUUUGAGAAAAAGUAAAGAUAUGUGGUUGAAUAAUUGAAUUAAGUGCCGAUUGAGGGAUUUACCUUUUUGUGUCUAGAGAGAUGAUGUUAAACAUUUCGUCAAUAAAAUGGAAAUCUUUGAAUCAAAAGGUUCUCUGUGUAGCAUUUUGAGAACCAUGUAUGUGGUGACUGAAUAUUUAAUGAAUUGUCUACAUGGCAAAAUCAUGUUUGAGGAAAUUAUACAUGUGGCAUAACCAUAUUAAUUGUCUACCCAGCGAAAAUUCGGAGAGACUUUCUCUCUUCCCAGUACUGCAGAUUUACUCCUAUUUAUGUUUUAUUGAUAUAGUUUUAUAGAAGUCCCUUUAUUAUAUGUCUGUAUCCCAACUUGUAAAUCAACUAGCACUUUACGUAAUUGAAGAUAAUUUACAAAUUAAUGCAAUCUGUUGAAUUGAAGGACCGUAAAUCUCAAUUUUCCUUAGUUUGUUAAUUUUCUACAUAAGUUUUCUUUAGAAUUGUUUUAGGCCUUGUUCGGGAAUACUAAUCCUACAGCUGCUGCUUUGAUGCUUUAAAGCUCCAUAUAAUGGGAAAGUCCUUUAUAGCUACACCAUCUUCCUAUUAUCUGGUUGGAAGGUUAUUGUAGGAGAACAUGGAGUCAAGGAAGUACUAGAUUGGUGCACAACCAAUUUCAUUAUGAUUGGAAGAUGAUAGAUUUUUUUUUUUCCUUCUUGAUUUUUACGAAAAAUGAUGGUGAGUUUUCGUGUGUCUGGACUGCUGCCCUUGAAAAGCAAUAUGCAAGCUUCACCUCUUGAAAAGCAAUAUCCAUGUAGAACUAAAGUUCAUUAUGGAAUUAAAACUAAUUGUUCUGAUCCUUGGUUCUGGUCCAAAAAAAGAGAAGCCCAUCAGUUGGCGCAUUCAAUUGCGCAUAGAAAUAAGGGGAAUGAAAGGUAAUCACAGCCAAAUGAAGCAUUGUUUUCCAUACUGAACUAGUAUAAUUUUCCGAAGCAACUGUUAGAGGGCAAUGCAUGAUGAAACUUGCAACAUAAAAUUUGUUCAUUUAGGAAAAAAAAAAAAAUUUCUUGAGAAAAAAAGAUAAAAAAGUUGAUAACUUCUGUGAGAUAUAAAUAUGUAUGAAAAAGAAGCAGUAGUAGAAGAAUAAAUGCCCUCUUUUGCAAUAGGGGACAAUAAUAUGCAAUUAGUGGAUAAAACCAAUGAAAGUAAUAAAAAACUUUGAAUGGCUAACAAGCUGGUACAAACCUAUUCUUUAAGACAUUUGGAGUUUAGUAACUUUAAUCAUGUGAGGCACCAACAUACAAACACAAAGAAGAGUUGAUAGCUAUAGAGCCAACAAUGAUUUUAUUCUGGAAAGUGCAUUAGUCUCAAUGAGGAUGUUUGAGAGAAUGAAUUGUGAAUAAGACCGUAUAGGACUGAAAGAAAGGUAGAUUGGUUAGACUGAUUUGUACCUUACAUGCAUUGUUCAAGUCUUGCUCCUGAGAUCUCUUUAUGUCUACCUCAGUCUGGUGAGAAUGUUUCCUAUUGUAUGAGAAAAGCUUCAUUCAUUCAGGUUUUUUGUUUUUUACUGCCUGAUCAAAUGUUACGAAGUUAAGACAUUGGCCUGACUCUUUUCUCUUCUUUAGCGUUGUUUUUUAUUCCUUGCUCAUCCGUUUUGUAUCUGUAAAUUAUCGGAGGAAAUUAAUGCUUUUGGUCUUGCUAUUUAGGACAACGUUCGCUUUAGUAAAUAUGCCUUUUAUUAGAUUAUAGUAGAUAUAGUAAGAUGUUCAUGCAAUCAUUUUUUGUAGCAAACAUCCUUUUUCUCUCUUUUUUCUUUCACAUGGGUAUCAAAUCGAAAGUGCCAACAGGUUGUUUCUGAUUUAUUUUCAGGGCCUAACUUCUGCAGCUUUGAAGAAAGGGGGACUUUAUUCUCUUGACAUUGGUUCACAGUACAAGUACAAAAAUACUCUUGUCGAUGUCAAAGUCGACACCGAUUCAAAUGUAUUUUUCUAACACUGAUUCCUUUUCUCUUUUGAAGUGCUAACAUGAAAAAUUUGUCCUGAGAGUUCUCUUUUGUGCCUUGUCAGAUCUCCGCUACUUUCACCAUCUCAGAAAUUUUUCCAUAUACAAAGACUAUUGCUUCUUUCAAGAUACCGGACUACAACUCAGGAAAGGUAUUGAGAUUAAAUGGCUCCAAUUUAUAAUUGUGUUUUUUUUUGGGUUUUUUUUUGGUGGUGUUCGUGGAGUGGUGCGUCUAAUGCAUAACCCUCAAAAAUAGAGUUUCUUUCGAAAAUGCUGCUCUUUGUUGGCUGAAUGAAGUUUUUGAAGAGCAUAUAUGCUUCUAAGUAUAAUCAUUUUUCUCCAAAUCUCCCAAAAUCUGAUUUCAGAGAUACUAAAAAUUGUCUUCUUUUCGCCAGUUGGAGGUGCAAUAUUUUCAUGACCAUGCAAGUUUUGCUUCAAUUGUGGCUCUGAAUCCAUCUCCUGUAGUUGAGCUUUCCGGCACUGUUGGUGCUCAAGGAAUUGCUAUUGGUGCAGAAGCCGGUUUUGAUACAUCCUCGGGAAAUUUUACUAAGUACAGUGUUGGACUUGGGCUGGCUAAGCCGGACUAUAAUGUCUCUGUUCUUCUGUAAGUUGUCUUUCAUUCAUUCCAUCAAACUUUUUGAUAGAGAUUCCUUGAAGGGAUUUAUCCUAUUCCUGGAAAAACAAAAGGGUUAAAUCGCAGAUGCAAUUGCUGAAGUUUGAUGAUGAUUCAAUUACGUCCUCAGAGUCUUAAACUCUCACAAUUUAGGCCAUAAUUUUUGUUGACUUUAAUAAUCAAGCCCUUCCGUUAGUUCCCCAUCUGAAAGAAAGAAUACUGUGUAAUUAUAUACUUAAGGCUGAAAACUCAAAAAACCGCCAUGCCUGCAAACCAUAGUAAUGAUGCUGUUAUGCAAUUCUCGUUUAAAGACAGCAGAGAGGGCAGGACUUAAUUGUUAUGCUGGUCCAGAACAAGGCGCGUGAAUUCUGAGGGCGUGAUUGAAAUGGAUUUGAACUUGACUAAGUUUCAAAUAAUCCUAUUGUCAAAAAACUGUAGUUAACCCAGAUUGAAACUGUGGAUGGUGGUCAUUAGUUAAGGGGCAGUUUGGCCCUCAAAAUUGAAAGUGGGCUAAAGUUACCAAAGCAAAGAAACUGUCACAUUUUUGGAAAUAAAUGAAGAAAGAGAACUUGCGCAAAAAGAUGCCAGACCCAUAAAAUUGCUAACUAUAUUAUAAUCUUUUGCUAGGAUGGACAAAGGAGACAUUCUCAAAGCUUCAUACGUUUAUCACUUCGAUGAGUUGCAAAAGACCUCUGCCGUGGCGGAGAUAACCCGAAAAUUCUCGACCAACGAGAACUACCUUACAGUUGGUGGUUUAUAUGCUGUCGAUCCCCAAACAACUGUGAAAGCGAAGCUUAACAACUCCGGGAAACUUGCUGCUCUUCUUCAACAUGAAAUUAAGCCAAAGUCUUUUCUUACUAUCUCUGGUGAAUUCGAUACCAAGGUGUUGGACAGGUCUCCCAAGUUCGGUUUGGCUCUUGCUCUCAAGCCCUAGUUUUAUUGUUUUUUUUUUUUUUCGUCGAAGCUGAACUACAAUUUUCCAUUUGGGUUCAGAAGUUAAAGGUAAUAAACUUGCCCCACAGACAAAUUUUUUUUUUUCCUUUUUCUUUUCUAUUGAAUCUUUUGAUUACUGUGGGUUGAUUGAUUUGGGAGGUUGCUUAGGCCAUUUAUUACUUAUUUUCGAAGGUAUUAUCCUCUUAGUUAGAUCUCAUAUGCCUUUCGUUCAAAAAGGUGCUAGCCUCAUGUGAAUUUGAUCUUGCUAUCAGAAACACUCGUCUUGCUGAGUUUGCUUUUGGAAUUCGAGAAGAUACUAACUUGACCUUUUUAGCACUUCUGUUUGUUGUUUCUUUCAAGAUGACUAUGCUGUUAUUUUUUUUGUUUUGUUUCUUGGUGUUUUGUUUAGUUAUUUUUGGCUAAAAUGCACCUUACACUCUGGAUAAGUUGUCGUUUGCUUAACGGCCAAAAUGAAAAUAACAUGCAUUUGUCCUCUCCUAAUGAUAAGAUUUUGCACCUAGAUGGGUUGAUUUUGGCAAAACUUGACCAAAUGGCCGGCUUCACGUGGAAUGCGAGUUCCGCCAGCAUCUAACUUUCUAGGUGUGAUUAGUGUAUCAUUCAGUGGGAUAAAAUGCAUUAUUUUAUUUUAUUUUAUUUUGGAGGUUCUUCUUUUUUGCAAAAUAUCAUUUAUUCAGGAGUUUAAUGUGCGCAUUUUAGUCUUUUUCGUAUGUUGUGAGAACAUAAUGCUGAUUAUCCAGAUUUUUUACUGAUAAUUUUCUCAGUUUUCGGGAGAUUCUGCAGUACACAGUUUGUUUCCCUGUUCUGAAGUAUAAAUUUCAUGAUUUAGCUUCAAGUGUUUGUUUUCUGCAGCAUGAUUAAGAGGGUAAAAAUCAUUUAUUUAUAAAUGCUUAUAGGACUUAACAGUUGCUGCAUAUAUUUUCCACAAAGUGCUUGUAUAGCAAAGAUAGUUGCUAUAUUGGGAUAUUCAUUGUGUUUGGAUGCCGGAAUAAGAAAUUCGAUGAUAUCUUACUAUUUCUUAUGAAGAUUUUCUUCGGUAAUUGGUAGUGAUGAUUUUGAUUUUCGAUUUAGUAGGAUAAAAUAUUUCAUCUGUGAUUUAAUUUUCAUUAUUAGGAAAAAAAUAAUUUAAAGACUGAAUAUGGUAUCUAGUUAGAUACUGCAUGCUUCAGAAGUAAACUAAAAGGAUACACCCAAUAUGAUUUUUAUUCAUCCAAUAGGGCUUAAUAGUUACAACCUGUUUGGAUAUUCCUCAAAACAGAGUAAUAAUUUAACUUACAGUGUAUUUUUUAUAACUCUUGAAAUAUUUACUCUUUUGGUAGUAAAAUUUGAUAUGCAAACAUCAACUUGCUAUUGAAAAAGUGAGGUAUUAAUGAUUUCCAUUCCACCUUGGAAUAAUAUGUUUGAAUGGAACUUCCUUCUACCAAAUGGUCUUAGUCAAUAAAAGACAAGUGGAGAAUAGUCUAAUCUCUCCUGCAAGAGGAAAGAACCAAAAAACGGCUUGAAAAUUGAUCACCCAAAGUAACCCAACAUGGGCAAGCUAAAGCUGAGUUACAUAACUAAUAACAAUGCUAAUAAGAAACAAGAAAGGGUGUAAAGUAAACAAAACAAAACAAAACCAAACCCUAAAUAAGAAGAAGAAAAAGGAUGGCAUAUUUAAGCACUCAUCACCCUCUCUUCCCCUCUCAUACAACAAAAGUUUAACAAUUCCAAAAGUGAUACACAUGCAAUUAUGCAUAUGAAUUUCAUGCCCUUCUCCCUAUAUUAUUCAUCUUGUUGGCCAAAGAAGAAGCACCCACAACCUUUUUUGCACCCAAUCUCUUAUCACUCAACCUCCUUGCAUGCUGCUCCCUCCCCAUCUUAAACCUUCUCUCAUUCAUCCCACUCCCUCCCUUCAAACUUGGCACCAAAUACCAACAUAUACUAGUGCAACAUAUAGCAAAAACCCUACCAAACACCACAAUGCACACCAACAUCACCACCACCACCAACAUCCAACUGUGACUCUCCCUCCACCCUCCCCAUGCAAAGCCUUUGUUUCCCUUCCGCUCCUCCUUCGCCACCGCCUUCGCCCCUCCCGCAGCUUCGCCUGCACCGCCAUCCCCAGCCAGGGUUGGCGAGGCUGGCGCCAGCUUCUGGGCACCUGAAACUCUACUCUCCUCGUCCUGUCGGUUGCGUAGCCUUACGACGACGGGGAUCCAGUCGUUCGUGCUCUUGUACAUGAAUUGCACCAUCGCGACGCCCUGCGACCCGGCCCGUGCCAUGAUCUUCUGCCUCUGGGACUCGAGGUCCAAUAGCACGGCCGAGAACUUGUCGAGCCCCCUCGUCGAGUAGGGGUUCUUGUUACCGGCCUUCUUCUUGGAUCCUUUCGGCGAGGUAGCCACCGGAGCGCGCGGGUCGUCCCCAUCGAUGUGUUUGAAGCUUGAUGUUCCACAAAACAUACUUGAAAUUUCGAGCUAAUGCGAGCAAAAAUAAGCCAAAAGUAAAUUCUUAAGAAUAGUUGGGUGUUUUGUGAUGGUUAUGGAGAUAUAAAUAUGAGAGAGAGAGAGCGAGCGAGAGAGAGAGAGAGAGAGUCUUUGGGGGUGAAGGACUUGAUGAACAAAGGAAGUGAAAAGUCAAUGGUCAACGCUCUAGGAAGAAGCUUCCACAAUCACGCAGUUGACUCGGGGGGUUGCGUUUAAUAUAUAUAUAUAUAUAUAUAUAUAUUAUAUAUAUAUAUAUAUAUAUAUAUAUAUAUAUAUAUAUAUAUAUAUAUAUAUAUAUAUUUGAAUUGGUCUCGAACUAAUCUAACUUUUUGCUUGUUUGAUUUCUCUCCACGCUUCAGCAACUUAAUUCGUUCUUCUUUUUUUUUCUGCUAAAAAUUCUAAAAUAAUUAAUUGGAUUUUAAAUUUAGGAUUUCAGAUAUUAUCAAUCAUUAAGUUCUUAGCCAGUAAUAUUAGGUACGGUCGGUUAGAACCCAAAAUUUUAAAUGUAAUUACAAUCAUUCAAACUUUCAGCCUUCACAAUAGCUCUUCAGAUAGUAACCAACCUUUAUAGCAUAAGCUCUUUUAGUUUCUUCGUCUUUUAACUUAGGCCAUAUACACUCCAUGUCUGUUUCCAAAAUUGCAAAACUUUUCUUGCAAUUUUUGUUGGUGAGCUCAGCUGUAACUACCCAAUAAUUUUAAAUUUGAAUCGUGAGGGGUUUUGGUCCAAUGGACCAACCCGCUCCUCUCAAGGUCUGUAGGAGAGCUCCUUGCCAAAGAAAAAAAAAAAAUCUAGAAUGUAUUAGUUAUAUUACUGAUGCGACAUAACCAGCCAAUUAGUUUGGUCUCUUUGAGUUCACUCGUUCCAUCAUGGUUAAUAAAAAAAAUAUUUUUGUUGUAUAUUUUACUCAAAAGAAGAGAUAUAAUUGGCUGUUAAUAGAUGAUGUAGUGUGACUGAUAUAUAUAUAUAUAAUCUCUCCCUAACCAAGUAGUUCUGACCCAUUUGCCUUGGAUCUUGGGGGCCAGGCCGAGCCACCUCUGCUGGCGCAGCACAAGGAGGUCGUGUCGUGUCGUCCCGCGCUGUUGGCCACACCCCCGAUCCUGCAUGACCCAGGCUCGUUACAGGUCGGGCCGGGCUAGGCCGGCACAGAUACUACAGUACCCGUGCCAGCUCCACCCGGCCUCUGAUCGUGACGGCGCUGCACGGCCCGCUUGACAUCCCUACCUAUAUACUAUUACACUCUCAUCUAGAGUUCGGCUUGCACAUAGUCCAAAACGCUUACACCGCAACGGAGUAAUUAAUAAAUAUCUCAGUGCUUGAAAAAUUAGUUUGCUGGACGAGAAAAGAAUAUAUUUUAUUAUUAUUAUUAUUUUUAUGGAUCUUGUUUUAUUUUAACAAAUUCAAUGUAGAAAGUCAUUUGGUGGACCGUGUCCAAGUAACGAAUUGUGGAGAAAGGAACGUACACAUAUAAUCUUAAAACUCUAUACAGGCUUUAAAAUCACAAUUUAGCUUAGUGUAUAUAUUUCAUGACAUACAUACAAAAGGCCUGAAUAUUAAAAAUCAUAUAUUCUGUCGAGUAUUCGCAAUUCGCUUGGAUAUCAUUUGUUGGGAUCAAUCGAGUACUAAGAAAUAGCGAACGCAUAACACAAUAACGAAAUAAUAAUAAAGCAUAAAAAAAAAUUAUAGAAAUCACACAAUCGAGAACGCAAAAAUUUACGUAGUUCAACCAAAACCUACAUUUAUAGAAACCAGAGUAAGAAUUAGCUUCACCAUAAAGUAGUUAAGAAUAUAAUGUCUUUUUCAACACUAUACGGAAAACACCACUUGUAGUACAAGAAGAAAGAAACCAAGAUUAAAAUACUCACCAAAGAACCUUGGUUGGAAUAACCCUAACACUAGGUUGAGUGAACCCCUCCAACCGACGUUCUCCGAUCUUUUCCUCCAAAUCGAAACACUCUCUGAGCCUCUCUUCUUCUCUCCUAUUUUGGUGAUUUUUCGAAACCCUAGUUUUUCUCUCAGAAGCUUCUCCCAAAGUUCCUCAUCAAAAUGUCCUCACCAGGGCUAUCAUGAUACAAUAUAUGGACCAUAAACUCCGGGUUCAAAACCGACUCGAACCGUCGAAUCCGACCAGCUGGAUUCCCAAAAUCGAUCGAUCGGAUUUGAUGCACCCUAAUCCGACCGAUCGGAUGGUUCGAAGUAGAUUUAUGAACUCGAUUCCGACAGAUUGGAAUUCCGAGCCGGCCGAUCGGAUUGUUCGCAGAAGAGGGACCCAACAUUUUGGUGCUACUUGAUGCUAAGAUAUAUAGAACUUUGGAAAACUUGCUACUUUAUAUGCAUAAACCUUUUAGAAUUUGUGGAUUACAUCUAUUAUUAUUAGUUUGAUUAUGUUUUAGUUUUAAAAUGUCUAGACAAAAAAUAUUUAGAGCUUAUAUGAACUAACCCCACUUGAUUUGAAUAUCUCCCGUACGACAUUUAAAAACUAUUGCACUUCAAAAUUUGGAUACAUUAUUUAUUGUUAUGGACUUGAAUACUAUAAACAAUAUAAGUUGCGUGAUUAUAGAUUUAUUAAAAAAGCGAUGAGUCUAAUAUUUAUACCAGAAACACCAUCAAAUAGAUUAAAUUAAACAAACUAAAAGAUUGGAUAUCAAAAUCAAUCAAAAGGGAUCAUAAUUCCGAUAAGUUAUAUACAUUUUUAGCUAAUUUUUUUAAUUUAUAAUGUACUGUCUAAAACGACAAGCAAACCAAUUAAUAAAAAAUAAUUUCUCCAACUUAUUCCCCCACCUAAGGGUAGCUAGAAACAAUAAUAAAAGAAUAUAUAUGUAUGAUGCCCAAAUUUUAAGCAACACACUCAUCCCAUAUUCCCAUGAGAGAGAGAGAGAGAGAGAGAGAGAGAGAGAGAGCAUACCAACAAAUGUAAGGCAAAAUCCAUAAUGAGAUGCUUCAAUAUCUCUCACUUGAAACCACCAUCCCUUUCAUAUCAUAGUUGAGUAGAAUGGAAGCUAAAUAUUCACUUUCUUUUUAUAGCUAUAUAUAUAUAUAUAUAUAUAUAUAUAUAUAUUGUAGAGGGUUUUUUUCUUUUCAAGUUGGUGAAGUAGGCCUAUAUAUAAAUAGUGCAUUGUUCCAAGUUACACAUGCAAUAUAGUUGCUAAGAUUAUUAGAUGUAACCAUUUCAUUCAUUCAUUCAAAAAAAAAAAUUACAAAUAAACACUCUAUGUUUGCCCAUUGGAUGAGCCAAAUUGACAUUAAUGCAGUCGCAUCAAGGGGGCCACAUAGUACAUUGUGCACUGGGGGAUCCAAUCACAGGGGCUAUUUAGUUGUACGUACUUAUUCAAUUGUAACGGAUCCAAAUACGAUAUCUAAUUUAUUGUAUUUUCGUAUUUAAAUUUACUUAUUGUAGUUGGAAUUAUACGAUGAGGCUCAACUGCCUGUCAUAGUUAGAAUUACAUAAUUCCAACUGCAAUAGUUGAAAAAAAUAAUUUUAAACAAAAAAUAAAUUUAUUUCUCUAAUAAUUUUUUAAGUAGAAAAAAUACAUAUUUUUUCCUACAAAGGAGAUAAUUAAUCUUACCAGCUCAUAUGCAAAGUGAUAAAAUUUUAUAAAUGCACAUCUCAACUGCAUACAACAAAACAAAUUAUGUAUAAUUAUAGCAUUUUUCACUACAUUCAAUUAAACAAAAUACAAAUAAUUAUAACUACUGUAUUUUCAACUAUAUACAUCUUUAACUAUGCUGUAUAUAUAAUUACGUCCUUCCUAUUGGAUCUUUAAAGCGAUUGCUGAUUCAAUGACAAUUGCAAAAACCUUUAGGGCUUGUUUGGUUCAUCCAUUUUGGGUAUGGAAUGGGAAUCGACAAAUCCGGUUAAUUUUGUUUGGUUCGCAUGAAUCGGUUUGGGAUUUCUAUUCCGGACUGGAAUGGGAAUGGCCCAUUAGCCUUCAACUUGAUUCCGGUCUUCUAACCAGGAUUGAGAUUUCAUUCGGGAAGCCCACUAAGUUCUCGAAGCCCAUGUGACCAUCUCACCCUCUUUCUCUUCACCCCUUUCUCAUCAAAAAAAAAAAAAAAAAAAAAAAAAAAAAAAAUCUAUCCUCUCUCAAAAUCCUAUCCCUAACCCAUAUCAAUAAAAGUUUUUAAAAAUAAAUUUGAUAUUUUUUUUGGAAAACUUAUUAGAGAAUAGUAUUAUAUUUUUUAUAAAUUUUAAAUAAUAUAAAUUUAUAUUUGAGAGUAAAAUUAGUAUUAUAGUAUUCUAUAAUUUUUUUAGUUUAUACGAACCAAACAAUGAAAUAUGAGUAACUCAUUCCAAUUCUCAAUCCACAAAUAAACCAAACGUCUUGGGGGAGUGAGCCAUUCUAAUUAUCAUUCCAAUUCAUUCACAUUCCAUUAUCCAUUCCAAUUCCACCCUUGAACCAAACAAGUCCUUAAUUUCUUGAUAAAAUAUACACUGUCAUGGCUAAACUUUGACGGGUAAUACAGUUAUUAACCACAAGUGGUUUAAGCAGUUAGGUUUGUGAGGAUUGUCAUAGCUAACUUCGUCCCUUCUACUGGAAUGUUUAGCAUUAGUUAAACAAUCACUGGAACAUCUUACCUUUUGUUGCAUCAUAUUCGCUGUCGAUCGAUCUAUGUGUGCUGAUGGAUUUGGUUUGAUUCCCUUUUUAAGUUUUAAAUUGUAUUGAUGAAUUAAUGGUGUACUGUGAUGGUGACUCUCGCAGUUAUGUGAUUCGAGUUGAUUUCAUGCUUUGGUUUUACUUAGUUGUUAAAUUGGUUUUCAAUCGCGAUUUCUAAGUGAAUUUACAAAACGGAGUUAUGGAGGGGUUUUGAUUUUGUAUUGUGUGUGUCGGCGGAGUUUGGAGGACGUUAUGUCAUCAUCCUGCUAUAUUAUAAUUAGUGUGGGUAAUGAUUAUACGUACGCUUGUCUCUUAUAUAGUGAAUAUGAAAAUAAUAAUGUUAGUAUUGUUUAAUUUUUGUGCCUAAUGCCACUGUCUGUGUGGAUAGAAAAAUCCUACGCAUGUGGCUCGUCUUGAUUUUAGUACAGCAUAUUGUUGGCUUAAAUAGACCAGUAUUUUACCCUGUGGCGGAGGCCAUGUGUGGGCCGAGUCAUGUUCGAAGUGACGUGAGACUGAGUGGGCCGAGUCAUGUUCGAAGUGGCGUAAGGUCGGAUGGAUCGAGUCACAAUCAAGACCUGUGGACGCUGUAUUUGUACGCUUUAAGUGAAUCGGUUGCGUAUUUCUAACAACUCGAGCUUUUGGGAUUAAUGGUUAGCGCCAACGAUCCGACAAGUGGUAUCAGAGCCAGUGAUCACGGGUUCAAUUUCCGCAUACUGCAAAUGUGUGCAGGUGCUAGAGAGGGGAUUGUUUGCUUAAAAGGGCCAGUAUCCUAUCCUGCGGCGGGAGAUCAUGUGUGGACCGAGUCAUGUUCGAAGUGGCGUGAGACUAGGUGGGCUGAGUCAUGUUUAAAGCUCGAAUUUUUUGGAUUAAUGAUUAGCGCCAACGAUCAGACAUAUAUCACACUCAAAAUGAUGGCAAUAGGAGAGAUUGAACAAAUCAAACUCUCGAGAAUAUAUCGAGGGCAUGUGUUCUCGGGAGUGUUUGGCAUCGAUUUUUAUGAAUGGUAGAGCUCGCCUACACUAAUAGCUUCCAGUGGAGCAUUGGAAUGGCUUCUUACGAAGCUUUGUAUGAAAAGAAAAUACCAAUCCUCGUUACAUUAGAGCGAGAUCGGUGAAAGAACGACAUUGGUCAUGAUGUGCUAUAAGAAGCUGAGGAAAAAGUUUGAGUUGCACAGGUGCGACUCCUGGUUGCGCAAAGCCGACGAAGGUGUUAUGAUGAUCAGCAUCGGCAUGAUUUUAAGAUUCAAGAUGAAAAAUCACAUGUGUUUGACGAGGGUGUGAAAUUAACGGUUCGGGACGCGAGGAAAGUUAUGCCCUGGCUAUGUUGAUCCCUUUGAAGUGUUGGAGUUAUUUUUCAUCAGUAUGAUUGGAAAAAAUUAAGUAUUUUUUGUAAUAGGUUUAACUCAUAGAAUUUAUCCUAAACCUAUCACGUUGUGUGAAAUGAAUAGGUCAGAGUUUAUGGCAGGGUGAUAAGGUAAUCACAUAUUAAAAUGAUACCAUAAGAAUCUUCUUUUGGAUACUUUUGUAUAAAAUAGAGACAUGUAAUUGAAUAUUGCGAAUCCGUGACAAGACCUAUCCGUAUUGUUGGGUCCCUAGUAUUUUGUUUUCUCGCCCUAAUUCCAAGUUCUCUAGCUAGUAGAUGUGUUGUUUUCAAUCAAAUAUACUUAUAUUCUUUUUUUUUCUAUAAAUUUUUACUAAAAAUUUAUAUCCGUCGCAUCGCGUGUGUUCCUACACUAGUGUCACAUAAAAUUAAUAAAUCAAGUUUAAUGCGUAAUGAACAACGCUAAUACUAAGCUUAUUUAUCAAUUUUAUGCUAGUUUUUGUUUUAAUAUACUUUUUAUAGUUAAAUAUAUGAGAUAUUUGAUGCCCUAAAGCACAUUUUUCUCUUUAACUUGUAGACUAAUAUAACAUGUGUAUCCAACUACAUGCCAUUUCUUUUGAUCGUAUUUUAUAUGAAUAAUGUUUACAUUACAUGCUGCUUCAAAAAUUUUGAAAUUUUAUUUUUGUUUUUACUAAAUCCGUCGAAGAAUCACUAGUUUUUCACAUUUUUAUUUUGUUAUAUACCUUUUAUUAGAAAAAAUAUAUGACAUUUGGAAAACUUUAUACUUGUCACGGUAAAACUCACGUCAAAAGAGAAUAAAAAAUUGAGUACAAAUAACCAGAAAAAUAGUAUUAUUGGUUUUCGCGAGAUAUACUAAUAAUUUAGUUUAAGUACAUGUAUCAAAUUUAUUGGAUAUAAUCUAAUUCAGUUAGUAAAUAAUGAUCACAAUUUUAAUAAAUUUAUCCAUUAACAUUAAAUUAAUUUCUUCAUUAACAAACAAAGUGAAAUUAAUUACUAAGAUUCAAAUCCGACAAUGUGCGUCAGAUUCAAACUGGUUUGUUAUUUGAAAACGGGUCCAUUGCCAACUCACCCUAGACCAUUUUAAGUUCCUGCAUAAUCACACAUAUACCCUUCCCACUUUCUGAAAAAAUUAUAAUUUUUUGAGUUACUUGAUGCCUAAAUAAUAAAUUUAAUUUUCAAAAAAAUUUAAUUUUUUGAACAUCAAGCUACUCAGAGAUUAUAGAUUACAUCAAAAUAUUUAAAAUUUUAAUUUUUAAAACCCAUAGCUAUAAAUUGUACUAAUCUAUAUAUAUGGACUUAAUUUCUUUUUCUGUGUGUUAUAGGUUUUUUGGGAUUUUACAUACCAUUAAUUCUCGUUUAAAUUAUAAAUUUUUAGUCAAACUCCAACCAUAAAUCGCCCCAAAGACAUGUGGUUUCUGCGGAUUUAAGAUAUGGUUUUUACCAUAAGAUAUUAAUUUUACUAUCAAAAUUAUUAAAAUAUAUAAGAUGAACCAAAAAAUUCGGUAUUACAUUAAUGCACUGAACCAAAUGAAAUAAUACGAUAUUAGUAGUAAUCUAAAUAACAGAUACCGGAUUACUAUACCGGAUUAUUAAUCAUGUUGAGAUAACCAGCGAUGUUACAUAAUGCGAACUAAACAGGCCCUAAAAAUCUAAUUUGAUAAUGUGAUGACUAAAAGUAUUAUAUUUAUACUAUCAGAGGUCAAAAAAGUCUAAAAACACUUAUAAUUUUUUUCCUCCAAUACAUUAAAAUUUAUGGUUGUAACAAUUAUAUGCUUCUCCCAUAGUGAUUAUAACAAUAAUUUUAUAAUAUAAAAAAUACUUUUAUAAAUUUUAUAAUUUUUAUAGUAUAAAAAUAAUAUUUUUAGUUACACCAUAUUAUCAAACUAGCCAAACUAGUACAUGUAUAUUGAGAUAUCAUAUGUAACAACACAGUCCACUAAUUUUAUUGAGUUCAAACCACUGGAUGAGGAGUAAAACUCUCAUUUCCCAAAAUAAAAAUAAAGUUAGAGGCAAAGGCUCGAAAAAAAAAUAUAUAUUCUCCUUUAAAUAGAAAGAAACUGUUAUAAUUAGUCUAUGGUCCAUAUCCUCUCUCUCUCCUCCAUUAUUAUUAGGCUAAAUUGCAUAUGUAGUCCUCAAACUUUAAAGUUUGCGACACUACAGUUCUCAAACUUUAAUUUAUUAUAAUUUUUUAGUUUAAUUUUAUUAGAUUUUUAUAAUUAAUUUUGACAGUCUAAUUUAAUAAAUUAAAUCACAGCGUGCGAUAAAAUAUAAAAAUUAUUGAAAUAUCGUGUUACUAUUAUAUUGUCAAAACAUGUCAGUUAAAUUAAACUGUAAUAUUUUAUUAUAAUAAUUUAAAAACUUCAUAUAAAAUAUUAUUAAAAAUUAAAAUUUGAGAACCCAAAUAAGCCUAAAAAAAGGUUGAGGACCAAAAGUGCAGUUCACUAUUCUAUUAUUAUUAUUAUUAUUAUUAUUCUCUCUCAUCAUUGCAUCACCAUCUUCCACUUGCUUCAUCCCUCCGCAAUUUUCUGCAAUCCCCACCACCUCUCUCUCUCCCCCUCUCUAUCUCUUAUCUCCAUCUCUCCUCCCAUUUUUUUUCCUCUCUCCUCAUUCACCCUCUCUCUCUCUUUCUCUUUCUCUCCUCCUCUGUGUUUGUGUUUGUGUUCUCUCAUCAGGACACAAGAGAGUUCGUAACACAAAACAGAGGAGGUGUAGAAACGAAUAUCAAGAACAUAUAUAUAUAUAUAUAUAUAUAUACACACACACAUAAAGAGGUAAUUUGUUACUGUUCUAUUGUAGUUGAUAAAAUUCUCUGAUAACUAAGGUGGUGUACGUAGAAAGGAAUUAAGCAGAGUAAGAGACAGAGAGGGAGAGGGAGAAGGAGAGGGGUGGGGGGGAUCGGAAUGGCGUUUCAGGGGACGACGACGAAGUGCACGGCGUGCGACAAGACGGUGUACUUGGUCGACAAGCUCACCGCCGACAACCGGAUCUACCACAAGGCCUGCUUCAGAUGCCACCAUUGCAAAGGCACUCUCAAGGUAACAUAACCAAACCAAACCAAACCAAAAAAAAUGCAUGAGUACAAAUAAAAAUAUCAUGCACAAAUACCAACCUCUCCAAAUUUGUAGAUUCUAAAAAGGAUGUCAUCUCUGUUGCUUGAUUGGUUGCUUGGUUUGUUGGAGUCCCAAACUUUUAUGUCUCUGCUUUCUUUUCUUUUCUUUUUUUUUUAUUUUUUUCCUUUUUUUUAAGAGGCGUUUGGUUUCUCGCAAAAUUAUGAAAAACUGUUUUCUUAAAAAAAAAAAGUUUUUACAGCAAAUAUAUAUAUAAUUAUAUAUAUAUAAUGGAGCUCUAUGUUUUUGAAAAAUACUAAAUUUUUUGUGCUGGUAAAUUUUUGACCGUUGGAUUAAAAGAUCUGCGGUUAGGAUGACGGGGGACCUUUAGGGUUGAGUAGGUGGUUGGUUAUAUAGUAUAAUCUAAUAUGUGAAAAUGAUCAAAAGGUGGAUCUAUGUGUUUGGUAUUUUUACAAACAUCAUAACCGGAUUCUAUAUAUAUAUAUAUAUAUAUUCAAAAUUUUAUUUUUUUUAUAAAGAUUUCAGAAGAAAAGGUAAUUUUUUCUGAGAACCAAAAGGACAGAAAAUAAAUUUUCUAAAAUUUUUUUUGGGUAAUCAACCAUUCCUUCACUCACCAUGGUUUUGUGGAUUUUUUUUGUUUUCUUUUCUUUCUUUAUUAUUAAACUAUACAGCAUUUUAGGACAGGACAUAUCUCAAUUUUCAAUUGUCCAGCUAAUGCAAAAAAAUUUUAUUCAUUUAAUUGAAAUAAACCCAAACAAAAAUUUAGAUUAUAUCAAUGAAGAGAAAAGUAAAGUUCAAUGGCCAAUUUUGUAAUAAUAUUUCCUGAUACCCCUUAAUAGAUCUCUAAUAAAUGUUGCCUCAUCAUGAUUGCUAUUAAGGCUUUUCAAUCAUAUAAUAAUAAUAAUAAUAUUUUCUGAUAUAUAAUAAGUUAAAUGGUCAAAUGUACAUUUAGUCCCUGAACUUUUGAUGAAUUGCAAUUUGGUCCAUGAUCCUUUUGUGAUCUGACCCAAUUUCCUGCUAAAUUCUCUAACAUCACUAUGAACCAAAUUGGAACCAUAUGUAGUAUAUCAACAUGAAAACUAUGAUCAUGACUCAAAUCGAUUAACCCAUGAAUACGGAAUCCGCGAUUUCAAGGUUCGGAAGGCUUGAAAAGCACUCAAUUCUUCAAAUCUUGCAUCAUAUUUUGUUCCAAUUUUAUGCUUCCAAAAUGCAUGAUCUUCAAAAUGAAACAAGCCUCAAAAAUCUGUAGAAGUUGUUUCUAGUUGAUCUUUACGUAACAAAUAACGACUACCGAUCGCAGCUCGGCAAUUACAAUUCGUUCGAAGGAGUGCUCUACUGCAGGCCGCAUUUCGACCAGCUUUUCAAGAUGACCGGAAGCCUCGACAAAAGCUUCGAAGGUAAUCGAUCGAUUAGAGCUUAAACUCAAACUUUUGUUUUGGACUAAUUAGAUGUUAAUAUUUUCGCCUCUCUUUAACUUCAGGGACUCCAAAGGUUGUCAAGCCAGAAAAGCAUGUUGAUACUGAGGUAUGUGCACAUUUGGCCCCUACUUUUUCCGUCGAGAUGUACAGAUUCAGAAACUGAUAUGUUUCAAUGAAAGAACAGAGACCGCAUUUUUAAUUUAUCGAAUGUUCGGGGCGUAUGAUCAAUGGAUAAGGCGAGAUAUGCAUUACAGCUAAAUUUUUGUACUACUACUGCUGGUGCUGAAUUUGAGUCUUUGCUUAAACAGAACGCGAACAAGGUCUCCGGUGCAUUCGCUGGCACGAGGGAGAAAUGCGUUGGAUGCAAGAAGACCGUUUAUCCGAUCGAAAGGGUAUCAUUUUGAAUCACUUCUCUGCUUGCUUAAACUUCUUUAGAGUCAUUUUGCUGUCAUAAGUACCCUGCAGCUGAACAAGUGUUGCUGAACUUCUAGAGCUUCAAUGUUUGAGUUCCUGCUUUUGGGGCUUCAAGGAUUGUUUCAGCUUCUAGACAAAAGUGUGUUUUGGAGUUUUCCGGCAGAAAUAAGCUAAAAGAUGUGCUUCGCGGUCCCAACAGCAAAAACUCCAGUUUGAAACUUCUGCUUCUGCUGCAAAAAGAGAUUGUUUUUCACGAAAACAGGCGCCUAACUUCUAAUAACUAAUAAAAGCAUAAGCUGCUGUUGAACCCUAAACUAACUGUACCUUCAAUCUCCUAUGCAGGUCACUGUGAAUGGAACAGCUUAUCACAGAAGCUGCUUCAAGUGCACUCAUGGUGGAUGUGUCAUAAGCCCUUCCAACUACAUUGCUCAUGAGGGAAAGCUCUACUGCAAACACCACCACAUCCAGCUCUUCAAGGAGAAAGGGAAUUACAGCCAGUUUGAGAAUGAGCAAGAGAAAACUGCGAGCGAAAGCGCCGCGGCAAAUGGAGAAGCACACUAGCUGUAAUUCUCGUCGACAUGGCCACAUGCAUUUCUCCGCGAUAUCUUCGAGAGUGUAUAAAUAUCAUAAGAUGAUGGUUGAUGAUGAUGUAUUGAAACAUAAAAAGAGUUGUUUUGUGUUCUUCAAUGAGAGUGGUGUGUUGGUCCAGUGUUUGCAUGUAGAGACUUUUGUUUGGGCUUUUAUAUUGUGUUUGGGUUCUCAUUAUCUUGCUUGAUUAAAUGGACUUCCCCUUUUGUUUUUUCAAUUUUGUGUGUUUGUGUUUCUUUACUUUGCUUAAACUUUCAUUGUUAUAUGUUAAUUGUGGAAUUGAUUAAAGCUUCUGAAGUUGCACCUCAAUGGACCAAAACACUUUCAGAGGAUCUGCAACAACAUUGAAUGGAGAUAUCAAAGCAUUUGCAUAUCAACAAACAAUACAUGGCCAUCACAGCUCAAAUGAUUAUCCUCUUCCAUUUUGUUUUCAAUCAACAUUGCUCUCACUUUGCAUCAUCAAAUGAUUAUCCUCUUCCAUUUUGUUUUCAAUCAACAUUGCUCUCACUUUGCAUCAAACAUCUGCACUCCUAAUUCCAUUUCCCACUGAUACACAUCAAAUGAAAAAAAGAGAAAAAAAAAAAAGUGUGACAUGUGACAUAGCAAUAAUGGGAACUUGGUCAAAAAUAAAACCAACAACCUAUUCAUCUUUUAUUGCAAUCAUAAUGGUGUUAGUAAAAAAAUGGGUUGGACACACUCUUUGCACCAACUUGUGUGCUGCAUUUCACAUGCCACCAACUCAAAGAUACUGACAUCCCAGCUGUCUGUAGACCAAAACAGCAUGAUGUCUUUCCAACCUUUGCUUACAGAUGAUCGAUUGUUUGCUAGCAUAGUUUAGUGUACUUAAUUGAGUAUUAAGAAUUAUUUAGCAAAUAAUAAUGAUGAUACAGUACUUCAGGGUAAACUUCAAUUUGCCCCCGUUAUGGUAUAACGGAUAUUUACUUUGCCACUCUGUAAUUCAAAAAGUUGCACAUUACUGCCAUAUAGUAUAGUGCAUUUUCACAUUGUCUCUCUGUAGUUCAAAAUUUAUAUUUCGCUAUCAUAUAAUUUUAUUUUUCUUUCACUAUAAGGACUUAUUGUUAAACAUGAUACCAUCCUACGAUUUUUUAAAAAAUUUACUUUCCUACCCUAUUCGAUGAUAGAUAUUUUUUGCUAAAACUAAAUUAAAACUACAAAAUAGUUAAAUGCAAUCUUUUAAAUCACAGAGUGAUAAAGUAAAAAUACGCUAUACUAUAGAAGGGGCAAGUUGAAGGUUGCCCAAGAACUCAAGCAUAUAAAAAUGCUUAUGUAACAUUGGCUCUAUUAGGCAUUGUUCGAAUGCGUGUGUGUGUGUAUAUGUACAUAUAUAUAUAUAGAAUUAGACUGCUAUACUAUCUAUAGUACUAGAGCUCCGGUACUAUAGUCUUGUUUUCGAUCUUAGGGUAUUCAAAUUAACGACCCACACCGUUAAAUAUAAUUUAGGGUAUAUGAAGUUCUAAGAAAUAAAAUUUUAGUUUUUUUCAACAUUGUUUACUAAGUAAAUAAAUUAUAUCAAAAUAAACGGUAAAAAUUGAAUAAUUUUUAAAAUUUGAGUAUAGGACUUUUAAAUUCAAGAUUAAGAAUGUUAACUUUAAUCUAGAUAAUUUAAAGUAUUUUCUAUCAAAAUUUGAAGAAAUUUAGAUUCUUCUGCACCAUUAAACUCCAAACUCGCCAUAGUAGCCAUUGAAAAUUGACAAUUUUGAAAUGGUUUGAUCAUAAAGUAAACUAUGUCGAAAAAAUAUAAAAUUUUAUUUCUAAAAACUUUAAAUACCUUAUAUCAGUUUUAACGGUGCGGAUCGUUAAUUUGAACACUCUAAGAUCGAAAACAAGACUAUAGUACCGGAGCUCCGGUACUAUAGAUAAUAUAGAAGACUAGCUCUCUCUCUCUCUCUCUCUCUCUCUCUCUCUCUCUCUCUCUCUCUCUCUCUCUCUAUCUCUAUAUAUAUAUAUAUAUAUAUAUAUAUAUAGAAUUGCCCUUGGUGCUUCUAAGUUUUUAACUCUUGGAUCUACUCCUUAAUUACUAACACCUUUUGAAUCAAACACUAUUCCACCUAUCACCACCUAUCACAAUCAUUUCAACCCUACAUCUCUCUAUCCAAUAGUUAAAAACUCAAAAUCACCAGGAGUGGUACUUUGAGAGUAUUCUAGCUCAACUCUCUCUCUCUCUCUCUCUCUCUCUCUCUCUCUCUCUCUCUCUCUCUAUAUAUAUAUAUAUGGAACUGACUUAAACUAUAGCUUGUUGUGGCAAUAAAACCAAACUUCUUCAGGUGAUGAUUUUGGUAAUUAAUCUUCCUAAAUCAUGAUUUGAGUCCUUGGAUGGCUCUGCUGUUAGAUGUGAUGCUUUGAUAGAAAUAUCCUGACAUGAAACACAUGAGAUACUGUGAUCAAAUUCAAUAAAGCAAACGGAAAAUAUCAUGAUAAAAACAACUUUUUGAAGAUAAAAUAGUCAUUCAAAGUGGCCCACAGUACAGGUUAAUUUUCCACCUUGUCUUUUAGUUUAUACUGGACUCAUUUUCAUAAAUUUAGUUAAAAAAGAAUAAUCUUAUAUUCUGUGAUUUAUUUCUCUUUAAAUUUAGUUAAAAAAGAAUAAUCUUAUGUCACCAUGAGAAACACUACCUACUUUCAAUCAUUGAAGCACGGAGUAUAAAAGAAAGGGUCAAUUGCUUAUAUAUCCCUGAAAAGUUUUCGACUUUCUGAUUUACCCCUUUUAGAAGGCUAAUAUUGAAAAUAUCAUUUUUAUGUUCCAACCUAUUUCUAAUAUAUCCCUAGAGUUAAAAUCUGUUAAUUAACUCUGUUAUCUCUGUAUAAUUACUAUUUUGCCCUUUCAAAUAUACCCUUCCAUCAUCACUGAUUUUCUUAUUUGCCCUUAAAGUCAGAGACACAAAAAAUAUUUUGACUUUUGGUCUUUUCCAAUAUACUCCUCUACCGUCACCAAUAUUUUUUAUUUGCCCUUAAGUUAAGGGCAAGAUUGGCAUUUUAAUUUUUUUUAACUGUGCUAGAUAUUUAACUCACGUUAACCCAAGUUAACUUAACAGGAGAUAACUACGGAGGUAUUUUGCAAUAACGGUGGAACAUAUGAGGAGUAUUUUAGAAAGAAAAAAAAAAGCAGGAGUAAAUCGGAUAUUUUCAAACUAAUGAGGGGCAUAUAGACAAUUAUCCCGUUCUCAGUUAAAAGGAUGAAUGAAAAGGAGACAAAUGGCAUUUAACAGAAGAGAAAGUUUUGCUCAUAAAAUUUUUUUUAGUAGUUUGCUUUAUUUUGCACUUUUAUUUUUUACCUAAUAUUUCCAUAUUAGGUUCUCCUAAGGAGUUGUUUGAAGUGAAAAAAAAAAAAAAUUUCUAAUCAUAAUCGAAACUGAUUAGAUUCAGACUCAAAUAAUUUUAAUAGGUCUCAUGUUGACCAGAAAAUUUUGGGGCCAAUAAUUACAAUUUAAAAUCCACAAUAAGCCCAUUUAAAAAUAUAAUUGGGUGGGCCUUACGAAAGCCCAAACAAAUAAAAAAAAAAAAGUGAGAGGGGGCCUCAUUCCAGCCCGUUAAAUAUUAUCAUUUGGGCCCAAUAAAUUAAAGCGGGCCUAAUCAACGACGGCCCACAUCCACAUCAUAUAAAAUAUCGGUUCGAAAUUUGAUUUCAAAUCACAAUCCAUUCAAAAUUCGAUUUUUGAAUUUCGAAUUUCGAACUCCCAACCAAUUCCCAAAAUAUCAUCCAACAACCCAUUCAAAGUUCAAUUUCGAAUUUUGAAUUCCCUAACAAAUUUUCAAAAUAUCAUUCAACAAUCCAUUCAAAAUUCGAUUUCGAAUUUUGACCCAACAACCCAUUCGAAAUUCGAUUUCGAAUUUCGAAUUUCGAAUUUCGAAUUUCAAAUUUCGAAUUCCCAACCAAUUCCCAAAACAUCCUCUAACAACCCAUUCGAAAUUCGAUUUCGAAUUUCGAAUUCCCAACCAAUUCCCAAAAUAUCAUCCAACAACCCAUUCGAAAUUCGAUUUCGAAUUUCGAAUUCCCAACCAAUUCCCAAAACAUCAUCCAACAACCCAUUCGAAAUUCGAUUUCGAAUUUCGAAUUCCCAACUAAUUCCCAAAACAUCCUCCAACAACCCAUUCAAAAUUUGAUUUCAAAUUUCGAAUCAAUCCUCAAAAUAUCCUCCAACCAUCCAACAACCCAUUCAAAAUUCGAUUUCGAAUUUUGAAUUUUCAACCAAUCCCAAAUAUCUUUCAACCAACCACAACAACCUAUUCAAAAUUCAAUUUUGAAUUUCGAAUCCCUCAAAAUAUCUCUCACCACCCCUCCCAUUAUAAAUACGAGAAUCAAGAUCAAUACGGGGGAUGAUACGAUUUUACAAAAAAAAAAGAUAGAUUGCUACACACAUUCCCACGUACAAAAUAUUCAAAGGAGGAAAGAUCGCCGAGCCGCGGAAAGGAGGAGAGAUCACUCGAGCUGCGGAAAGGAGGAGAGAUCGCCGAGCCGCGGAAAGGAGGAAAGAUCGCCGAGUCGCAGAAAGGAGAAGAGAUCACUCGAACCGCUGAAAGGAGGAGAGAUCGCCGAGCCGCGAAAAGAAGGAGAGAUCGUUGAGCCGCUUCAUCCAAUCCAUCAACAGGUAGAAAAAAAAAAAAAGAAAGAAAGAAAGAAAGAAAGAAAAUAAAACAAUAAUAAAACACAAAAGAAAAUUCUCUUCUUCCCCCCUUCUUUUUUUUUCUUUUUUUGGUCCUGCUACCGUAGUCAUCCAUACCGUCUUGAUGACUUCGAUGGGAGAGUGGAGGGGAGCCAAUGGCUUCCCGUUUCUUCGGACCUCUCAAUACCCCAUUCGAAGUUGUUGAUGAUGGAAUGGGUGAUCUACAUUGCCGCGACCACCCCAACAUCGCCGGUUUGAUACUUUCGAAAGAAGAUGGGAGGGGAAUCAUUGAUUCCCCGUUUCUUCGGACCCUUCAAUAUUUCUUCGAAAAUGUCAAAUCAAAUCCGACAGCCGAACAGAUCCGUGCCACCGUCAUCAACUUCACCGACGACAUCUACAGCAUCGCCGGUUUGAUACUUUCGAAAGAAGAGGGGAGGGGAAUAUUUGAUUCCCCGUUUCUUCGGACCCUUCAACAUUUCUUCGAAAAUGUCAAAUCAAAUCCGACGGCCAAACAAAUCCGCACUACCGUCAUCAACUUCAUCGACAUCAUCUACAACACCGACGGUUUGAUACUUUCGAAAGAAGAGGGGAGGGGAAUCUUUGAUUCCCCGUUUCUUCGGACCCUUCAACAUUUCUUCGAAAAUGUCAAAUCAAAUCCGACGGCCAAACAAAUCCGCACUACCGUCAUCAACUUCAUCGACAUCAUCUACAACACCGACGGUUUGAUACUUUCGAAAGAAGAGGGGAGGGGAAUCUUUGAUUCCCCGUUUCUUCGGACCCUUCAACAUUUCUUCGAAAAUGUCAAAUCAAAUCCGACGGCCAAACAAAUCCGCACUACCGUCAUCAACUUCAUCGACAUCAUCUACAACACCGACGGUUUGAUACUUUCGAAAGAAGAGGGGAGGGGAAUCUUUGAUUCCCUGUUUCUUCGGACCCUUCAACAUUUCUUCGAAAAUGUCAAAUCAAAUCCGAUGGCCGAACAGAUCCACGCCACUGUCAUCAACUUCGUCGACGUCAUCUGCAGCCUCGCAAGAAGAGGGGAGGGGAAUCUUUGAUUCCCCGUUUCUUCGGACCCCAAAUCAAAAUUAAGACGGGGAUUUCUUCGAACCCCAAAUUGGAAUCAAAACGGGGAUUUCUUCGGACCCCAAAUCAGAACCAAACGGGGAUUUCUUCGGACCCCAAAUCAAAUUGGAAAAUCAAAUCUAAAUUGGAGAGUCAAACGGGGAUUUCUUCGGACCCCAAAUCAAAUCCAAAUUAGAGAAUCAAACGGGGAUUUCUUCGGACCCCAAAUCAAAUCCAAAUCAGAGAAUCAAACGGGGAUUUCUUCGGACCCCAAAUCAAAUCCAAUUGGAGAAUCAAACGGAGAUUUCUUCGGACCCCAAAUCAAAUUGAAAAAUCAAAUACAAAUUAAAAAAUCAAAACGAAAAUUUAUUCGGACCCCAAACCCAAAUUGAGAUAAAAAGGGGAUUUCUUCGGACCCCAAAUCAAACCAAAAUCAAAAAGGGAUUUCUUCGGAUCCGAAUCAAGUUGCAAAAGAGGACUACCUCGAACCCGAAAUAGAAUUAAAAAGAAAAUCAAGUUCACAUAGGAACCCAAACUCGAACCCAAAUAAAUCCAAACCCAAACCAAACCUAGUCCACAAAUAAACCCACAAAUAAACCCAAACUCGAACCCAAAUAAAUCCAAACCCAAACCAAACCUAGUCCACAAAUAAACCCACAAAUAAACCCAAACUUGAACCCAAAUAAACCCAAACCUAAAUCAAGUCAAGUUCAAACCCAAACAAAACCCAAAACCCAAAUAAAUCCAAACCUAAAUCAAGUCAAGUUCAAACCCAAACAAAACCCAAAACCCAAAUAAACCCAAACCUAAAUCAAGUCAAGUUCAAACCCAAACAAAACCCAAAAAUCCAAAUAAAUCCAAACCAAACCAAGUCCACAUACAAAGCCAAACGGCCCAAACCUAACCAAACCAAGUCCAAAUAAACAUCCAACCAAAACCAAAAUAAACCGAAACCAAACCAAGUCCACAUAAAUAACCCCAAACCCAUUCCAGAAUCAAAUCCAAAGCCAAACCAAACCUCAUGGACCAAAUCCCAUGAGCCAAAACCAAGUUUAUGAACCAAAUCCCAUGAACCAAAACCAAACUUCAUGGACCAAAUCCCAUGAGCCAAAACCAAGUUCAUGAACCAAGUCCCAUGAACCAAAACCAAACCUCAUGGACCAAAUCCCAUGAACCAAAACCAAACCUCAUGGGCCAAAUCCCAUGAACCAAAACCAAGUUCAUGGACCAAAUCCCAUGAACCAAAACCAAGUUCAUGGACCAAAUCCCAUGAACCAAAACCAAACCUCAUGGACCAAAUCCCAUGAACCAAAACCAAAUCUCAUGGACCAAAUCCCAUGAACCAAAACCAAACCUCAUGGACCAAAUCCUAUGAACCAAUAACCAAAUCUCAUAAACCAAUACCCAAAUCCCAUGAACCAAUACCCAGAUCUCAUACCCAUAUCUCAUGAACCAAUUAGACUAACACAUAGAGUUUAAUAUCGAUCGGGUCUUAACACAUAUACUUAGGGCCUAAUCAACCUCAAAUCCAACUGAAUCCUAAUACAUAUACUUAGGAUUCAAUAAACCGAGACGCGAUUCAACUCAUCCCAUCUAUAAAGGUCUCCUAAUCGAUGGUACUCCAAUCUACAGAGGAUAAUUAACAAUAGAUGCUUGCAUCUAUUGGAAGCCAUGGACCCGCAAAACCUGAUAUCCACAUACAUAUAAAUACUCAUCUGAAUCAUGAAUACUACCCCACGGCCCCGAAAAUUUCAUCGACCGUGCGAGGUGCGUCAUUCGUGGUGGCAGACAGGAGGUACAUGUUUAAUCUAAUCAAAAUGCUAAAUAACAAUGUUUAGUAGUUAGAGCCUAUUGUGCCUUAAAAAAAUUGAGACAACUAAAUGUUCCCAAACAUAAAAUAAAGAGUUAAUUUCAUAUAGGUCCCUGUAAAAAUAUCAAAAUUUCAUAUUGGUCCCUAUGAAAGUAUCAAAUAGCAGAUAAAUCCCUAUAAAACUUAAGUGCUCAGAUCUAUCCUUUCCAAGAUUCUCUGGUUUGCAAAUAUAUUCAUCUAAAAUUCUGAUUCGUUCAUAUAUAUUCCUACCGUUUAAUUCAUCGUUAAUUUUUUAAUAGUGGUUGCAAAAAAUAACUAUUUUGCUCUUACAAACUUAUUUCUACAAACAAAAAAAUAAAUUUUCUCUCUUUCCUCGCGUUCACCAUAGUACGCACGACAUAUCUCAUUUCUACAGUGACCGAAUGGCGGUCUUACCAUCGCCAUGAAUAAAGAAGAGAGGGUGAAAAAGAUGAAGGGAUUCACCAUAGGAAUACAAAUUAUAGCUACAAAGAGUUAAAAAAUUAUUUUACUCAACUAAAUAUGGCUAGCUUUUUAACUCAUAGUUAUGUAAAUUUUGAUAACAAAAGGAUAUAUUUGCAAACAAAAGAAUUUUUUGGAGAGAUAAAUCUGAUAACUUAAGUUUUGUAGUGAUAUAUUUAUUAUUUGAUAUCUUUGCAGGGAGCCAGAACCAUAUGCAAUUAUUCCUAAAAUAAAAUAAAACUCUCACACAACAACACAACCCUGUAGUUUUUCUUUUCUAAGUUGGCUUAGUAGAAGAAACAUAAUGGACACCUAGAUCUUAAUAACUAGGUUUCAUUUUCUCACUUCACAUCAACAAAUGAAGCCAUGCACAACUAGACCUUGAUAAUUAGGUUUCAUUUUCAAACUCGACAUCAACAAAUAGAGCCAUGCACUAUUUAGAACAAGAAAACAGGUAUUUGAUGUUAUUUGAAAAGCAUCAAUUUUGAAUUGGUCUAGAAUGCAAACACACCAUUUCUAACCUGCUGUUGAUGGCAGGUCCUUACAACAUAACAAACAAUAACCAGGCCAUAAUUAAGUGCGACAAACGAUACUGCAUAAUAGUAAAGCACAAAUGGGGAUAAACUACAGGGGUCGACUGACCUUUUUCCUCUUUUCAUCAGAAGGUGCGAGGUCGAUCUAGACGAUCAAUUUAAUGCAACCACUUCAUCAUAUAGAAUCACAGUAAUUGAAGAUUUGAAAUUGCAGCUCGACGAUGAGUUGCAGAAGCAAAUGCAUGCAGUUCAGAGCAUUGGUUCUGUUGAUAGCAAAUUGAUGCCUGAAUGCUUUUCAGAUGGCUUCAAAGAUAAUGUAAGUUAUUAGGUUUCCUACACAAGUUCCAUUAAGCAACUUAACUAAAUUUCAAUAUACUACAUGUCAAAGUUCUAAAAAGCGGAAAGUUAUCUAAGAACUUUCUGCACCUAAGAACUGAACCAUCUUUGUAAAAUUUACUUCUGACUCAACUAUACACUGAAUCAGCCUCACAGGCAAGCAGUCCAUAACUCCGCCAGGUGAAAGUUUAA
This 71283-nucleotide long non-coding RNA is filed under the name Ananas comosus (pineapple). RNAcentral describes it as "long non-coding RNA (ACOM_LNC019349)". Lineage: Eukaryota; Viridiplantae; Streptophyta; Magnoliopsida; Poales; Bromeliaceae. The record is from RNAcentral.